UCUCAUGGCGAACUACACUUGGAAGUGGAGUUCAGAACAAAGCACAAUGAUUACUUUUACAAAGGUAAAGUCCUAGAGAAAAUGACUGGAUUGGAUUUAUCAUGCAACAAGCUAACAGGUACUAUCCCUUCUCAAAUUGGGCACCUGCAACAAGUUUUAGCCUUGAACCUAUCACAUAAUCACUUGUCGGGUCCUAUUCCAAUUACGUUUUCAAAUCUUACCGAAAUAGAGAGCCUUGACUUAUCAUACAAUAACUUGAGUGGUAAGAUACCUUAUGAGCUAACCCAGUUGACCUUUUUAUCAACCUUCAACGUGUCAUACAACAACCUUUCUGGAACACCACCUAGUACAGGACAGUUUGCAACCUUCGUUGAGGACAGCUACAGAGGUAAUCCCGGUCUUUGUGGAUCACUCCUCGACCGAAAGUGUGAAGGUGUCAAGUCUUCACCAUCAUCACAAUCCAAUGACAAUGAAGAAGAGGAAACAAAUGUGGACAUGAUAACAUUUUAUUGGAGGUUUCUACAGCAUCUUACAUAACAAUAUUGUUGGCCUUCGUAACAGUGUUGUGUAUCAAUGCUCGUUGGCGUAUGGCUUGGUUUUAUUACAUUAGUAAGUUUGCACGAUUUUUUUUUCCAACUUUUCCAUUGUACUGAAGAGUGUACGUAGUACCUGUUGAAACUUUACGUGGAGUCUCAAAUAUUUGGAUAUUGUAAUUUUUAUAUUUAUCGUUAAUUUCAGACAGUUUGAUGCUGGACAUGAUUUUAAGCUCUUUUUAUUUUUUCAUUGUUUUUUGUGUGAUGUACUUGUCUGCAGUUGUUUGAUUUGAAGCUAUUGAAUACAUUAUUAUGUUUUUUUCUUUCUUCAUAUUAAUGCUUAUCUAAUUACUCUGUUGUCAGACUCUAAUAGCAAUCAGAAGAAGAAUUGUUGUUGUUUUUUUUAUCUUCAUAUUAAUGCAUAAUCAAUUAGCUAACUGUAUACAUUUGUCAUAGAAUAUCAAAAUUAUGCAGACUCAGAAAUAUUGAAGACUUCAUUAUGAACUUAAUAUCAUGUUAAUAGUCUCAUUGAAAUGUGGUUGUACUUGUACACUUGUACUAGUUAAUUAUGUUAUCAAUUAUCUUAGUACUGGACCUCGACUAAGUAUGAGAAUGAUGUUAGUUUAUUGUAACACGUAUUAUUAUCAAAUCUCUUAUUAUUUGUGGUUUCUUUCAUCCUUUUGUAUUGAAACCAUGUUGUUGAAUCCAAUAGCAGCGAUUUCCGAUUAAGUUGCAUACAACUUCUGUUACCAUCUUUGUCGUCAUAUCAUAUCCAAGAGUUCCUCAAAUAGCUCUGAGACCUGUUUCAAAGAUCCAUCAAAUGACGUUCUGCAGCCAUUGACCCGGCAGCAGCCAUUGAUUCUGUGACAGGCCCUAUGCUAGAGUAUUAUUGAAAAGAUGAAAAGAAAACGAGCAAAAACUGUUUUUUACUCGAGAGCAUGCUCUGUCGAUGGAAUCAUUCCCUUCUAGAGAGCCUUGUGUACAAUACUAACUCCAAUGCCAUUAAUAUUUGCCUUUAGUUUUCUUUUGUCAUUAAUUAAUUCUUCAACCACCAAAUCGGGUCAUGUCUUUAUAAGUCAAUCUCAAAUUAGUCUCUAACUCUAUUAAUAUUUCAAAUUAGUCUCUGUCUUUCUCAAAAGUUUCUAAACCACAUUCCUCGACAUGUGACAAAAACAUAAAGACAAGGACCUAAUUAACAAACUUUUAACAAAGUGCUUUUGUAAGUAAUUCAUUAUGAGACCCUAUGUUUUACGGUUUCUUUCAUAAUGUUAUUGUUUUUCAUUGAAAGGUUUAGCUCUCAUAUUUAACACUUUUGUUGUUUUUUGUUAAAGUAACUUCUUAUAUUUUUCUAAUACCUCGAAUGUCAAUGUAUCUUACUAAUUUGUUUAUAUCCAUGAGAUUACAAUUAGUUGUUGAACCUUGUUUAAGCGUUUUCGUGAGAUCUGUCUGAUUUAAUGAACAGAAUGGCUUUUCCAGGUCGCAUUGAGCAUGGUAUGAGAGGAAGGUUUUGCAUCUUUCUACUAUGGCCUUUGGCCGUCACUUAUUGGAAUAGCUUCAUAUAUUCCAGUUAACUUUUGUGUUUUUGACUUGCGAUCGAGUUUGAGUAAUUGUUUUUGACUAACAUUGAAAUUAAAACAUCAUAACCAUACCAGAGAAGUCGUCACCACCAUGCUUUAAAAAUUCAGCAUCACUUGCAACACAAUGAUGGGAAAUAUUUGAAGCUCAAAUGCUUCAGUGUUCACAUAUAACUGCCAUAUUAAUAUUAUGGUCGAUGCAGGUAAUGGGAAACACAUGAAUCAAAAUUGGCAAAUGAUCAUAUACUUGUUUUUUCAUUGGAAGAUCUUUCUUAUGAUCUGAAUGGCAACUUUACCCAUUCUAGCUAUGGGUAAUCAACGGUGCAAGGCUGCCCCUGAUUGUCUUUCAAAUUCAAACGAGAAUGAAAUGUAGAAAGAGUUUUCAUUUUUAUACAAAAGAGCUUAUUACGCAGUUGCUUGGUUGGAAUUAUUCACAAAUAAUAUAAAAUUUGUUUUGUCAUUCUACUUAUACUAGUUAUUUUGCAAAAACAUAUUAAGAAAUGUAAUUAAUAUUGUAUAUGAAAGAGAUAUUAUCAGUAGUUUUACACAUUUGUCUUAAAAUGAUUGAAAUUAAUAAAUAGGUAAGAGUAUAAUAGGAAAAUUAACAUUAAUGUUACCGUAAAACAACUUAUAAUUUGGGACUAACUUUUUUUUUUUUUCUUUUUUUUUUUUCAAAAUUAUAAUUUGAGAUGGAGAGAGUAUUAAUUAAACUAGUAAUGUUAACAUACGUACGUAUAUUUAGUCUUGCAAGCAGCAAGAUAACAUUAGCAUCUUUGUCAAAUGUCAUAUUCUCUAGUCAACUCCAAGUCUUUCUUGUGCUUCAAGGAAGUUUCUUGGAAUUGAAAAGUCCCAUCUUUGUGUAUACAUGAAUUUGGGGCAAGACUGAAAAGUCCCAACAUAAUGAUUCUUGCCGGAAAGAAAGACACUUACAAAACUAAAUGAUAUGUUAUCAUAAUUUUCCGGUAACAUUUUCCACUUCCUAUUAGUUUAAUUUAUAUGCACAGCCAAUUUAAAGAUUUUUUACACUUGCAAUUGUCAUAUCAUUGAAAUCAUUUAACUUCAAUGAUAACUACUUCUAAAGUUGUACAUAUAAUUAAUUGUGAUUUGUUAAUAAUAUAAUUUUUUUUUUUUUUAAAUUGACGGUGUAUAUCAAAAUUAACUAUGGCUACAUCAAGGUUUGUUAUAUCAUAGUUUAAAAAGUGAAUACUUUUUCCUCUCCUCACUGAUUCCUUAUAUUUUUCAAUGUAGGCAGGAACCGAAAGUUUUCAGUUUGAUGAGAACAUAGAACAGGAAUGGAAAAUUCAAAUACAAAAUUUAGGCAAUGGCUAAAACAGCAUUUUAAGUAUAAUAGAUGGAAAAAAAAACUUAUAAUAGAAGGAAAAAAUUAAGAUUUAUUGAUACUGGAAAAAAUUAAGAUUUAUUGAUAUUGCAAAAUGAUAUAUAAAUUGGGAGAAAAAAAAAAAGUAAAUGGGAGAAUUUUACUUCUUAUAACUUUAAACUUAUUUGACGCUGGUUAAACUAUUUUUAAUGACCGAUGUUAGUAUACUUAAUUAUUACUUACUAUCCUAUUUGUUUGAGGGAGAAGUUGAGCAAAUGACCUCUUUACCACUCAAAUACUUACAUCCUUCCGUUAAACUACCAAACAAAGACCCCUAUAUGGUUACUAUAUUGAAAGCAACAACUAACUACUAAUGUUCACAUACAUAUUUAAUAUCAUGCAAGAUAAGUUUAGCAUCUUUCUCAAAUGUCAUCAUCUCUAGUCAACUCCAAGUCUUUCUUGUGCUUGGUGGAAGUUUCUUGUAAUAGAUAAUAUCCCAUAAUUUUAGUGUAUAUAAUGUAUAUGAGGUGAUUAUAGGAUUCGGACCAAAACUGCACACAAUACCCAUACAUUUCUCAAAAAUGAAGUUGGGUUUGAUAAUUAGUUCCCUUUUAUAUUUUGUGAUUUUAAUGUUAAUUCAAAAUCAAGGAUGUAACGGAUGCUUAGAGAAAGAGAGAAUAGGGUUGUUGGAGAUCAAGCACUACAUCUUGUCACAAGACGAAGGAUAUUCUUACCAUAGCACAGAAGAGUAUUCUUAUAAUAUCAAAGAAUUGGGUUCAUGGGUUGAUGAUAGAGAUAGCAAUUGUUGUUCUUGGAAAAGAGUCAAGUGCUCUAACACCUCUUCUGGUCACAUAACUGAAUUAUCCCUUUACUUGUUACUAUUUGAGACCCCUGAUUCUAAGAUGUUAAAUGUUUCAUUGUUCCGUCCAUUUGAAGAGCUACGCCUCCUUGACUUGUCCUAUAACUCCUUUCAAGGUUGGAUUGGCAAUGAAGGUACUACGUUGGCCCUUAUAUAUAAAAUUUCUUUAUUAAACUUAUACAAAUUAAAAAAGUUCUUUAAUUUUUAUUUGUUGUGUUAAAUUUGUUAACAUUUUAAUUUAUAUUAAAAUUUCUUUAUUAAACUUAUACAAAUUAAAAAAGUUCAUUAAUUUUUAUUUGUUGUGUUAAAUUUGUUAACAUUUUAAUUUAUAUUAUCCCCGUGAGCUUAACUCAGUUGGUAGGGAUAUCGCAUAUUAUAUGCAGGGGCCGGGGUUCGAACCCCGACACUCCACUUCUCCACAAUUUAAUUGUGUGAGCUCUUGCCAUUAGGCUACUUGCACUACAAGAAACAUUGCAUUUUGCCAGGGGCAAAAUCCCUGAGAAAAUGACAGAAUCCCUGAGAAAAGGGACAUUUAUGAGGGAAUUUGCCAGGGGCGGAAACCCUGGCAAAACAGCUCAUCGCUAACAUUUUGUGAGGGGUUACACCCCUGGAAAAAAAACGAGGGGCUAAACCCCUGACAAACUGCGUCACUUAAACCCUGUCUUAUUCCCUGGCAAAAUUCGUCACUUUUGUCUGCAACUAUGCAGGUCUGCUCUGACUUGACUGCUGACUGACGGAAUGUCAAAUCAGCAGGGUAACUUAAGCCAAGGCCUUUGCGAGUGGUAUAACCCCUGGCAAAUGGUAUAUUAAUUUUUUUAAAAAACUGGUUUUAUUUUUUAAACUGAUUUUUUAAUUAUUAAUUAAAUGUUUUUAAAAUAAUUUUAAUUAAUGAAAUGUUAUUUAAAUUAAAUUAAAAAUUGUAUUUUUUUGUCAAAGUUGUUUUUGAAAAAAAUGUAUAUUUAAAGUUGUUUUCAUAUUGGCAUAUAAGAUCCUUCAAAAAAAUAUUGGCAUAAAAGAUAUUUAUAAAUUUAUUAAUUAAAUUGAGUUAAUUUUAUCCACAUGUAAAAAUUGUAUUGUCUGGUUGUUAAAAUGAACGAAAUGUUAAGAAAAUCAUAAGGAUUGAUAUAACACACAUUUUAAUAUAACAACUACAUUUACUAUAGAUUGAAUUUUCGUUAUUGAGUCUUAACAAUUUUAUUUUAAAAGAUGGUUUUAGUAUUAUGUAGUCAUUUUAUGACAAAACACAAUUGUUAUCAAUAUUGGGCAAAGAUAAUAGACAACCGAUUUUUUUCUUUCCAGAUCUAAGAGCAACACUAAAAAGAUCACACAACAAUAAGACAAGAAAAUGAUUACAAAAAAUGCCAUGACCAUCAUCUUCCUUUUGAACCAGUAAUCGCUAUGAAGGUCAUGCUUGUAAUAGGAAAGAAAAAAUGCAGCAAUAUAAAGAGAAGUUCAUGGGUAAAAGUACUAGCUUGACACCCUAACUAGAAAGAUCACGUGUAAAAGAAGGAGCAUGAAGAAGGUGCUAAAUUGAAAAUAGAAAGAAAAACAAGAAGAAGCUUUCAUGAGUAAAACAAUGAUUAAUGGAAAUAGAGUGUAAGAACUAAGAACCAUAGCAGCAACGUCUUCAUUAGCGGUUUCAGACUUCAGAGUGAUUUUCAAAUGGAUAUGAUGCAUAUGGUGUGUUAGUGGUAAUGGUCACCAAAUGGAUAAAAACAUAAGUUGUGGACAUAUUUGGUGAUAUAUAAAAUUGAAGGUACACGGUUUGGCAAUGGUGCAGGAAUAUGCCACGGCCGUACAGCAAUAUCCGAGGGGUAAAACCCCUGGCUUGCUGGCAGCACAGUUUUUGCAGCAGGUUUUGUCAAGUCAAAACAGCAGGUUUUGCAGGGAAUCCCUUCUUUUGGCUAAGUUUUUUUUUUGAAAAAGCUGCACAACUAGAUUUUUUGAAUUUCAAGUUUGGCGCUCAAAUUAAAGACAGGGGUUGUGUCUUUUUGCCCGGGGCAAACCCCUGUCUUAUGGUAAGUGGUCCUCGCAUUUCUUAAAGUCCAUUUGUGAGGGGUUUCCUUGACAUUUUUCAUGGCAAAUUUGCUAGGGGUUUUAUGUCCCUGGCAAAAUUCUUGGCAAAUGGUCAUUUUUCUUGUAGUGUUGAACCAAAAAAAAAUAAAUAAAUAAAUAAUUCAUAUUGUCAUAAUUAGCAAUAAUUGACCGGUGAGUUUAAGUUUUCUAAAUAAGAUUAUUAUUUUACAACAUAAAAAAUCAAUGUACAAAUCUCAAUUAAGAGAGAUGUCAGUACUUUCUAUUUACAAUAUCUUAUAUACGAAUCAAAAAAAAAUAUAUGAAUUCUUUGUCAGAUGGUCUUACUAAAUUUGGUGGGAUCAAUAUAAAUUUCAACCAAUACAAACAUAAGUGUUGUAAAUAGUACUCUCUCCGUCCCUAUAUGUAACCUCCUUUUGCAUUUUUCAUAUUUUUUAAUAAAGUUUUCGGUGUAAUUAAUAUGUCUGUUUUGUGCGUUAAUAUUACUAAAUUGUCAUUUGUUUGUAUGUGUAUUAAAUUUAAUUUUUCAUAUUUCAAUACAAGCUAGUAGUAUUAAUUAAGGGUAUGUUUAGAAAAAAAAAAAAAAAUGCAUCUAGUAAUAUGAAAACGGGUUUACAUUUAGAGACAAAAAUAAAAUCAAAUUGGUGCUUAGAUAUAGGGACGGAGGAAGUAUAUCACUAGCAUAAUUAAAAGAUGGUCUCAUAGCUUUCUCUGUUUCUUUCAAACUAACUUACUAUGCUUCUUUUGAAGGUUUUCAAGGAAUUAAAAUGGUGGAGACAUUAGACCUUUCAAGGAACCAUCUAAAUAGUAGCAUCUUAUCAAGUUUGAAUAAUGGAUUAACGGCUCUAACAACUUUGAACCUCGGUAAUAACAAAAUAGAUAAUAACUUCUUCGCUCAAGGUACAAUUUGUUUGUAUAAUUUAUUUACGGGAAAUGUUAAUAAGUGCCCUCAAGACAUUUGAUAAAAAGACUAAAGAAGAAAUGUUAUCUUGGAAAUGGUGCAUUCAAUGUAUUGAAAUUUUAAAAUAUAAUUUUUUCUACUUAAAAUUCAUCAAUUAUUUCUAUUUAUGUAUUCUUAAAAAGUGUCCUGAGGCCAUUUGUUAACAAGGAUUUUUAUUCAUUUUUGUACUACAUACGAUGGAUAUGACUGCUUGUUUGAAUCUUGUAUGUUUUAUCAAUCAGCAAUGCAACUUUAGUACUUAUAUAUAAGACUUAGUUAACAAAUUUAAAAAGUUUGUUAAUUUUGUAUUUUUUUGUGUGUUAAAUAUGCUAACAUUUUAAUAUUAAUUUUAAAAAGUAUAAAUAAUUGACAAUAUAAAAUAGAUAUCGGUAGAACACAAAAAAAGAAAAUAGAUGUCUGUAUUUAGUAUUUACAAUAUCUUGCAUAUGGAUGAAUGAAAGAAUUCUUUUAUAUAUGUGAUUGAAAUAUAUGAAUUCUUUCUAUCUCUAUAUUUAUCUAGAAUAUCAAUAGGUCUUAUUAAAUUUGGUGGGAUUAGUAUAAAUUUUGACCAAUACAAAAAUAAGUGUUGUAAAUAAUACGGUAAAUUCCUUAAAAAAAAGUAAAUAAUACGGUAAAUGUUAUGUCAUUAGCAUAAUUAAAAAAUAAUUAAUACAAGAGAGAUAAUUUUAACGAGGAGUUGCCCUCCGUCUGGCAUGAAAUUUCUCAUUCUAAGAUAUAAGCUUGGAAUUUAAUUUCGAAUCUUCCAUUUUUUUUCUUUUUCUUUUUUCCCCGUAACAUUGUAACACUAUAAAUUUUUUGGGUUAAUAGGCUUUUACCCCCCUGCCAUUUGGGCGUCUUUUGGUUUACCCCCCUACAAAAAAAAAACUUGGAGAUUCCCCCUUGCAAAAUGAAGAUUCUUUGGUUUUGGACCCUGAGUCCAUCUGACUGUGUAAUUUAGUUGAUGUGGCGUGCUGACUGUGUAACGAUGGAUGAAGUGGCACUGACACGUCAUAAUUUUUAUUUUUUUAUUUUUAAAAUUAUGUUAAAAAUGUGAAAUACCUAAAAUACCCCUAAUGAUAAAUUAAAAAUUCCAAAUCUUUUUCUCCCCUUCUUCUCCUCCAGCAGCGACCCUCUUCUUCUAUUCUUCUCUACUUCAUCAUCUACAUCAACACAACAAACACAACAACACAACAAUUCAACACAACAACAACAAACAUCUUCUUUUCAAACUCACAACAACACAUCAUCAACAACAUCCCAAAUCACAAAUCACAAACAUUCAUCUUCUCACCCAUAAAAGCAAAAGAGUCUCAAAAUAGGUCUGAAAAUUCUAACCCAUAAAUCCGAAGAAAAAAAUCCGAAAAAUGUUAUUGAUGUUGUUUAUGGGUCGAAAAAUGGGUUUGAUAAAAAAUGGAUUGUUGUUGUUUGAAUCUCAAUAUGUUGUAUUUGUUUGUGUGUUAUUGUUGUUUGAUUGGAUCCAAAAGUUGUUUUGAUUUGUAUUGUUUAUGUUUUUGGCUAUGUUUUUGCCCAGAGAAGAGAAUAGGAAGGAGGAAAUGGGAAUGAGAGAGAAGGGAGUAAAAAGAAGAACAUGGAGAGAAGGAAGAAUGGGGACGAGAGAGAGAGAAGGAAGGAGGAAAUGGAGGAGAAAAGAAAAAAUAUAUUUUUUUUAAUGUUUUUAAUUUAUAAAAUUAAGUUUUUAAUAAAAGAAAUUCAAAUAGAGAAAAAAAUAAUUGGAAAAGAAAUAAAAAAAAAGCCACGUCAGCAUGCCACCUCCUUAAUUAUGCACAAUCAGCGUGCCACAUCAUCCCAUUAAUCCAGUCAUAUGGUUUGGGGGGCGUAAACCAAAGAAUCUUCAUUUUACAGGGGGAAUCUCCUAAGUUUUUUUUUGAUAGGGGGGUAUACCAAAAAACUCCAAAAUGGCAGGGGGGUAAAAGCCUAUUAACCCAAAUUUUUUUUUGAGAAAUAUAUAAAUCUUUCCAUAAACGUAGCUCAAUUGAUCGGAACAUUGCAGUAUGUUAGGGUCGGUGUUUGAAUCCUUAUUCUUCAUUUAUUUACCUCAAGAUGUGAAUUUAUAGCUAAUAAAUUACUUGACAAAAAAAAGAUAAAUAAAUUGUUAAUAUGUCACACGCACUUGGUCAUUAAAUUCUUUUUUUUUUUUUUUGACAAAUAGUCAUUAAAAUUCAUGGAACCCACGUUAUGAAGUUUUUUUAAAGAGGUUCACAAGUUGAUUUGGAGAAUUUGAAGAUAUAAAUCUCAAAUAUUAAUAUUAUUUAGGCGUUAGACUAUUUUCUUCUUAAAUUAACAAUAACUAAAAUUAAUUUGUGAAAUGAACUUUUUUUUAAGUCACGUUUGUUUUUUAUUGCCAAUUCGGUCUUUAAGAUAGUCUCAGAUAUUGAUUGAUACUAUGAAAGUGUUUUUAAUUUUAUAAUGAUUUCAUUAAUUCUUUAAUUUUAUAAUGAUUUCAUAAAUUCUUUAAUUUUAGGAUCGACCUAUGUAAUUUUUUAGACAAACUGAGUGGUUUGUUUUUCUAUUUCACAUGACUCGCUGUUUUUUUUUUCCCCUUCAUUUUUCGUGACUUUUAUUUCUCUUUUGAAACAAGUGUAGAAAUAAACUCUUAAUUAACAAGAAACUGUUUUCAUUAAUCAAAGAUUGUGUAGAAAGUAAAUGGCAUCACUAUACAACAUAUUUGUUAUCAAAUGUAAACUUCUCAUAGCUUAGUAUGCUUGUUUUGAAGGUUUUCCAAGACUUGAAAAAUUGGAGACAUUAGACCUUUCAGACAACUAUUAUCUAAACAGUAGCAUUUUGUCAAGUUUGAAUGGAUUGACUGCUCUAACAACUUUGAAGUUGGGUUCUAAUUCAAUGAAAAACUUCUCUGCUCAAGGUACAUUUUGUUUCAAUAAUUUAUUUGUGGAGUUUAUGUGAUGAAGUGAAUGAAUUAGAAGACAAUUAUAAGAUCUCGAAGAAAAUAUUAAUUUUUAACGAUAAUAAGAGACUUUAAAUAAAAUGAAAAACUGGUUAUGAAUCAUUGGUAGGAAUUGAAAUUAAUUAACAAAAGCUUUUCAUUAUGUAUAUUGUUGAAGGAUUUUCGAGAUCAAAGGAGUUGGAGGUCUUAGACCUUUCCCAUAAUGAGCUAAACUGCAAUAUCAUAACAAGUUUGUAUGGUUUCAUAUCAUUAAGGAGUUUGAUUUUGAGAGAUAACAAGUUCAAUUGUUCUCUCUCCACUUUAGGUACGCAUCUUCAAAUAAUAUAUUAUGGCAAAUGUUUUUAGUUUCAUUUAAAAAAAAAAGUAUUAUGUCCUUGCAACAGAUUUUGCCAAAUUUAGUCGGCUAGAACUAUUGGACUUGGAUGGUAAUCAAUUUAUUGGUUCACUACAUGUUGAAGGUACUUUUACUAUUAUUUUUGUUUCAACUACUAUUUAUGGUUACAAAGGAACACAAAAUUUAUUACCACUAUUUAUGGAAAAGAUUUUAUAGGAAAAUUUAUUCUGUUUGAGAAAUUCAGACAUUGUUUAGGAGUUAGCAGUUUGUUUAUAAAUCAUAUUCUCAAUAGAGGCUCUAAGUUAAUGAGUUUACAAUCUUUAAUUAAAUUCAAUAAAAUAAUUCUAAUUAAAUAUGUUUUGCCACUCUCCACAUAAUACUCUUUGCACACUCUAGCGCCUUAGCUUCUAUUAUCUCUUGGGAAAGAAGGAAGAUAAUAGAAGUUUCAUAAAUUUUUUUGUAAUGAAUGGUGAAGUUUCAUAAGGUUGAUCACCAAUGUGAUAUUGGCUAUUGUUGAAACCCAAUGGUGAAAUGAACCGGAGCUUUUGUAUUUCCUAACAUAGUAUGCCGAGCUGAAUGAUUCCCAUAUACCAAUUUGUCAUCAAGGAUUCUCCAAGAAUUUGGUCUCCAUGUCAAUCAGCUCUGACACAAAGGCCUCUUCUUUAAAUUUCUUAGUUCUUACAGAUUUAUUGAAUAUUAUAUCUCUAAAUAUGUACUUUUUUUUUUUUUUUCUUUUUUGCAGAUGUUCAACACUUGAAAAAAUUGAAAAUGUUAAGUUUAAGCUAUAAUCAAAUGAACGGCUCAAUUGAAGGUAUCAAUACUAUCAAACAUAAAUAAUUAAUUGGUUUGAUUUGUAAAUUAAUAUAUAUAUAUAUAUAUAUAUAUUGAGUCCAUUGGAAAAACUUUAAGAUUUUUAUGAUAAUGUCAAUUUUUGUAAAGAUAACUGGACAUAGUUAAUUAUGACAGGACUAUGCAAUUUGAAGGAUUUGGUAGAACUGGAUAUCAGCAAAAACAUGUUUGGGGCUAAACUUCCUGAGUGUUUAAGUAACUUAACAAACCUCAGAAUUCUUGACCUUAGCCAUAAUCUAUUCAGUGGAAAUUUUCCAUCCUUCAUUAGUAAUCUCACAUCCUUGACAUUCUUAUCACUCUAUGAAAAUUACAUGCAAGGAUCAUUUUCACUUAUCAUUUUGGCUAAUCACUCCAAUCUUCAGCAUCUACAUAUUUCAUCGAAAAACAGCACUGGAGUACACAUUGAAACUGAAAAAACAAAGUGGUUUCCUAAAUUUCAAUUGAAGUCCCUCAUUCUUAGAAAUUGCAACCUAAACAAGGACAAAGGAAGUGUCAUUCCUACUUUUCUUUCUUAUCAAUAUAAUUUGAUACUGAUGGACCUCUCUAGCAACAAUAUUGUUGGCUCACUCCCAAGUUGGUUGAUAAAUAAUGAUGCCAUACAAUAUUUGGAUCUAUCAAACAACAAUUUUAGUGGUUUGCUUCCAGAAGAUAUAUUCCUUCCAAGUAUUACCUAUUUGAACUUUUCAUGGAAUAGCUUUGAAGGAAAUAUACCUUCAUCAAUUGGUAAGAUGAAAAAUCUUGAGUACUUUGACCUCUCUCAUAAUAAUUUCUCAGGUGAGUUACCUAAACAACUGGCCACAUAUUGCGAUAAUUUACAAUACUUGAUUCUCUCCAACAACUCUCUACGUGGGAAUAUUCCUAAAUUUGUGAGUAUGGAAGUUUUAUUACUGAAUAAUAACAACUUUAGUGGAACACUUGAUGAUGUAUUGGGAAAGGGAAAUAAUACAAGAAUACUAAUGCUAUCCAUAUCCAAUAACUCGAUCACAGGCAGAAUUCCUAGUUCAAUUGGGAUGUUUUCUAACAUGUAUGUCCUUCUUAUGUCUAAAAAUCAAUUAGAAGGUCAGAUCCCUAUUGAGAUUUCCAACAUGUCCAGUCUUUAUAUUUUGGAUCUUUCUCAAAACAAGUUAAUUGGAGCAAUCCCAAAGUUCACAGCUGGAUCUCUGAGAUUCUUGUAUUUACAACAGAAUGAUCUCUCUGGAUUUAUACCAUUUGAACUCUCUGAAGGCUCAAAACUACAACUUCUAGAUUUGAGGGAGAACAAACUUUCAGGUAAAAUUCCCAACUGGAUGGAUAAGCUCUCAGAGUUGAGGGUUCUUUUAUUAGGAGGGAACAAUUUUGAAGGAGAAAUUCCAAUUCAAUUUUGUUGGUUCAAAAAGAUCGACAUAAUGGAUCUAUCACGGAACAUGCUCAAUGCUUCAAUACCAUCUUGCCUCCAAAAUAUGUCAUUUGGAAUGAGACAAUAUGUUCAUAAUGAUGAUGAUGACGGUCCUAUUUUUGAAUUCUCAAUGUACGGAGCUCCUACAGAUAUUUCCUUCAAUGCUAGUUUGUUGAUUCGACAUCCAUGGAUUGGAAAUUCGUUGAAAGAAGAACUACAAUUUGAAGUGGAGUUCAGAACAAAGCACAAUGAAUACUCUUACAAGGGUAUAGUUCUAGAGAAUAUGACUGGAUUGGAUUUAUCAUGCAAUAAGCUAACAGGUGUCAUCCCUUCUCAAAUUGGAGACCUACAACAAAUUAGAGCCUUGAAUCUAUCACAUAAUCACUUGUCUGGUCCCAUUCCAAUCACUUUUUCAAAUCUUACCCAAAUAGAGAGUCUUGACUUAUCAUACAAUGACUUGAGUGGUAAGAUACCCAAUGAACUAACCCAGCUAAACUUUUUGUCAACCUUCAAUGUGUCAUACAACAACCUUUCUGGAACACCACCUAGUACAGGACAAUUUGGAGGCUUUGUUGAGGAAAACUACAUAGGUAAUCCUGGUCUUUGUGGACCAUUCGUCAAUCGAAAGUGUGAACAUGUCGAGUCUUCAGCAUCAUCACAAUCCAAUGACGACGGAGAAAAGGAAACCAUGGUGGACAUGAUAACUUUUUAUUGGAGUUUCACAGCAUCUUACAUAACAAUAUUGUUGGCCCUCAUAACAGUUUUGUGCAUCAAUCCACGUUGGCGUAUGGCCUGGUUUUAUUAUAUCAGUAAGUUUAUGCGUAGAUUUUUUCCAACUUUUCCAUUGUAUUGAAGAGUGUCCAUAGUUUAAACUUUAUGUGGAGUCUCAAAUAUUUGGAUAUUGUAAUUUUUACCUUUAGCUUUAAUUUUCGAGAUGUUGAGACUUGAGAAAUUGAAUGUUCAGUUCCUUUUGUCAACUUUAUGAUCAUCGUGUUGUUUGUGUGAUGUAUUUAUCUGGAGUGGUUUGGAGGCAUUGUUAUAUAUUAUUGUAUUAUUUAGCAUUUUGAACCUAUGGGUCGUGCAUGAUGAAAACAUUGCUUAGUCUAUAAACAAAAUGAACAAUAAAUAUAGAGAACGCAACAUUAGCAGAACCAUAUUUUUUUGGCCUUGGUAUCCUUUCGUCGUCUCUGUAUUUCCUUAAGGAACAUUAAGUUUAAUCCUAAAUAGAUUUUUUGUGAAAAACUACGUGCAAUGUUUGAUGUUCUUGUAUGAAAUUGAAUGAUUCUACAGCUAAGACCAUAAUUAAUUUGACGAUGCUUUAUGAAAUUUGGUACCUUGAUCUUGUGGUUGUCACUUGUGGUUAAUGUUUCUUUGAACCAAUAGCAAACAACACAAUUCAUUCCAAAUUCGCCUCCGCUUAACAAACCGAACAACGAACUUGCGACGACGGCUCAGCUUCUAAACCGAACAGCAUUGUUCUUUUUGCCAUUUAUGAAACGACAUUGCUUUUGGUAGAUUCACGGAGUUGGAAUUGGACAAUGCUUAAAAUUGAACAUUUUAGGGACCAAAUUAAGUAUUGGCAGUUGAAUUGAAUUAUGUAAAUGCUUAAUAAAAUAGGUUUGUUUCUUGUCAGUGGUUAAUAAGUUGUGAUCACCCCUUAUGCAGAUCUUGUUAUGUUAAUAAUCUCAAUGAAAUGGGGUUGUACACUUACUAUUUAUGCUUUCAUAAUACUGGACCUUGAUUAAUUUAAGUAUGAGAAUAAUGAUGUUAGUUUACUCAAAUUGAUGUUUUAAUUUUAAAAGAAUUUGCAAAUACUUGCAUUAAGUUGCAUACAACUUAAGUAUUUUCAGCCAUGAACCCGGUAGCAGCCAUUGAUCCUGUGAUAGACCCUAUGCUCUGUCGAGGGAAUCAUUCCCAUCUACAACUGAAAAUCAGUCUAUCGAUUGUGAGUAAAUAUCCAGAACGUACCCCUCCUUCUCGAGCCACGUCUAUUUAUAUCCCAAGUACACCCUUGUGUACAAUAGUAACUCCAAUUUAACUUACUAAAAUGCAGGUCUUGCCAAACUUUUUUGAAAAAAGUUAACAGAAGAACAACUCUGCUUUACGAAAAAAAAUACUUUACUGUGACUUCUUUUGAAGAAUAAAAAAUACAUUAUAGUCGAAUUAUUUGAAUUAUUAACAAAUGUAUAAGAUUAAUUAAUACCCUUAUUUGUGCAAAAACUGCAACAUUCCUUUUAGUUGUUAUAGUAAUCAGUGGUAAGCACACACUGGGGAAUAGAAUAGUUUAAGUUUAUAUGCUUCAGUGUUCUUGUGUGAAUACCAUGUUAAGUUUUUGGUUGAUGCAAGUAUUGUGGCACAAGAUGGAGCUAUUGGCUUAAACCGAGGAUUCAUGCCCAAAACAUUAAAAAUCCGAUUAUGUUUCCUUAAAUUCCGAUUUUGUUGAUAUUUUAUACUUAAAUUACAUCUUAAAAAAUAAGCAGAUAAAACUCUGUUUCAAACAAGAGAUUGCUAUUCUCAUUCCAUUAAGAACAAAUACUCACAACAACAAGAGAUUGUGAUUAGUUACCUGGCCUAUGUCUAAUUUAUUUUUCCGUACUACAUAUGACAUUGUCAAAUGUCUGAUUGCAGCUAGUGAGAAAGAGUUUCAAACAAUCGCUGAGGAAAACCGCAACAAACAAAAGAAAAACACAUAGUCAAUGAUGGUGAACUUAAGAAUGAUUUUGUUUUUGCCAUUUUUUACUGCUAUUAUUUGUGGGAGUUACUUUUGCCAAACUGCUACGAGUGAUAUAUCUCAGAAGGGGCUGUAAAAUUUGUAGGACACAAGUUUGUUCUAGGUGCACUAUUCUCUUGAAAAUCAAACAAAUAAUUGAGCAUAGUUGUUAAAAUCGUUCAGAUACAACCCUCAUUGUUAAUACAAGACACAUGGCUUGAUUAUUCAUUGUACUACUAAUAUGACUCCAUACCUAUGAAGCAUGGAUAUAGACGGACACGACACACAAUGACGCACCAACAUUGAUAAUAUUUUGAGAAAAUAACAUAAUUCAAUGUAAUAAUAUAUGCGUGUCAAUGUGUCCUACUUCAUAAUACACUUAAUCCCAUGAGUGUUUGUGCUUGAUAGCUCUUUACAUCUCUAUGAAUUAGAAUAUGUAGAUAGCAAAUGUCUUUUAAAGAUAAUGAACAUGUUCGUACUAUAUAUAAUCUGAAUCGGGAACAAUUUGUUUGGAAUAUAUAAUACGAACGGGUUCAGCAUUCAAUAAAAAAAAUCAAAUCAACUAAUUUUUUUUAUAAGGAAUGAGAUUUUACCUUGUGCUUGGUGUUUGAAAAAGCUUGAAAUGGUAUCUUUGGGUAUAAGUUUACCCUUCAAAAGAGAGAGUUUAUUUAAGUUCCCAUGAGGAUAUCUUUGGGUGCCAACUGGAGUUAAAGAUCUUAAUUACGGAGCGUUAGUCAAAAAGAAAGAGGUAGUACUUUGGUGGUAUAUUGAUAAAGAAAUAUUUAAUACACUUGAAAAUCCAAAGAUGGUCUUAUAAAGAAAAUGACAAGAAUUUUUUUUCCAAAUGGGAUGUAUAUUUUUUACUUAAUUUAAAUACUUGAUAAUCUAAUUGUUUUCUUUGAUAUCUAAUAUUUUAGAAAUCAUCUCCAUCAUAUCGAAAUUUACACUAGUGUUUCAAAUUGUAGACCACAUGUUCAAAUUGAAAGCAACUACACUAAACUAAUGUUCGUACAAGUGUUUAAUUGCAUACAUGAUAUGUUUAGCAUUUUGUUAAUGUCAACUAUAAGUCAUUCCAUGUAGCUUCGAGGAGGUUUCUUUGUAGUGAAAAUUAAUGUCUCAUCUUUUAGUGUAUAUAUAAUAGGAGAAUGUUAAGGUGCUCUUUAGGGCAUUGGUUAACCAACCAAAACAAGUAAUUUUUUCACAUAAGAUGUAAAAGAGGCUAUAGAUAUUUUAGGGUUAGAGAUAUUUUAGGGUUUCAUUCCAUGAUAUCUUCCUUUCUUUAUGUAAAAAGGUUAGAGAUAUUUUAGGGUUCUAUAGAGAGAAGAUGUGUAAAUUAAAACCAUAAUUUCCAUCACUUUGUUAUUUAUUUUUGACAGGUUCAUCACAUGUCAUAACCCAUAAUACCAAGGGAAUCUCUUUUUAUAUAUUAUUCUUCAUAGGCCAUAAAUGUCUGAAGGUGCAUAAACAUUAAAAUGGAAAAAAAGUUAAUUAUUGAAACUUUUUGUCGGUUUAACUAUAUAUAACUGUAAUCAUACUUGACUAUGAUUCAAUAUUGAAGGCAAUUACACGUGUUUGUACAAGUGUUUAAUUGCAUGCAUGAUAAGUUUAGCAUUUUUGUCAACUGUAAGUCAUUCCAUGUGCUUUCGAGGAAGUUUCUUUGUAAUGAAAAUUAAUUACUCGUAUUUUAAUGCUAUAUAUAAUAAUAUAGGGUUUUUAUUGUAUUGAUUGUAGAAAUUUGAGGUAAAACAAGUAACAUAAUAUAAAAAAAUGAAGUUGGGUUUGAUAUUCAGUUCCCUUUUAUAUUUUGUGAUUUUAAUGUUAAUGCAAAAUCAAGGAUGUAAGGGAUGCUUAGAGAAGGAGAGAAUAGGGCUGUUGGAGAUCAAGCACUACAUCUUGUCACAACAAGACAAAGGAGAUUCUUAUAAUAACAAAGAAUUGGGUUCAUGGAUUGAUGAUAGAGAUAGCAAUUGUUGUGUUUGGAAUAGAGUCAAGUGCUCUUUUGGUCACAUAGUUGAAUUAUCCAUCUAUAGUUUACUAUAUUUGUUCCCUGAUCCUAAUAUGUUAAAUGUUUCAUUGUUCCGUCCAUUUGAAGAGUUACGUCUCCUCGACUUGUCCAAGAACAAUAUUCAAGGUUGGAUUGACAACGAAGGUACUACUUUGGUCCUUAUAUAAGAGUUCUUUAACAAAUUUAUACAAAUUAGAAAAGUUGGUUAAUUUUUAUUUAUUGUGUUAAAUUUGUUAAAAUUUUAAUUUGGUCUCUAACAUAGUCUCAGAUACUAAUUUUUUAUACAUUCUUUAAUUUUAGGAUCGAGCUCUGUAAUUUUUUAGGCCAAUUGAGUGAUUAAUUUUUCUAUUUUAUUGUUCUCUUUCAUUUAUUAAUUUUUCUAUUUCACGAUUCACUGUUUUUUUUUUCUUCUUUCAUUUUUCAUGACUUUUGUUUCCAUAUUGUAACAAAUUUAAAAAUAAACCAUUGACAUAAACAUUUUUCAUUAAUCAAAAGAUUGUGUAUUCUUAUUUCCAUAUUGACAUAAACAUUUUACGAUGAUUUUAUAAAUUCAAAAGAUUGACUUUUGUUUCCAUAUUGUCAUCUUUCAUAGCUAGCUUCCUCUGUUUCUUUGAAACUAACUUAUUAUGCUUCUUUUGAAGGUUUUCCAGGACUUAAAAGUUGGAGACAUUAGACCUUUCAAAUAACUAUCUAAAUAGUAGCAUCUUAUCAAAUUUGAAUGGAUUAACGGCUCUAACAACUUUGAACCUCGGUUAUAACAAUAUAGAUAAUAACUUCUUCUCUCAAGGUACAAUUUGUUUCUAUAAUUUAGUACUUAUUUAUAAGACUUAGUUAACAAAUUUAAAAUUUUUGUUAAUUUUGAUUUUUUUGUUGUUUUAAAUAUGCUAGCAUUUUAAUAUUAAUUUUAAAAAUUAGAAUUAAUUGACAAUAUAAAAAUAGAUACCGGUAUCUAGUAUAUCAAUAGGUCUUAUUAAAUUUGGUGGGAUUAGUAUAAAUUUCGACCAAUACAAAAACAAGUGUCGUAAAUAGUACAGUAAAUUGUUUUUUUUUUAAGGAAGUACGGUAAAUGUUAUGUCACUAGCAUAAUUAUAAAAUAAUUAAUAUAAGAGAGACAAUUUUAAUGAGGCCUUUUUUUUUUUGUCAAGUAGUCUAGUGUUAGAGCUCACACAAUUUAAUUGUGGAGAAGUGGAGUGUCCGGGGUUCGAACCCCGGCUCCUGCAUAUAAUAUGCAAUAUCCUUACCAACUGAGUUAAGUUCACGGGGAUUUAAUGAGGUCUUUUAUAAAGGGAGAAAUAUAUAAAUGUUUCCAUAAAUGUAACUUAAUUGAUCGGAACAUUGCAAUAUGUUAUGGUCGGUGUUUGAAUCCUUAUUCUUCAUUUAUUUACUACAAGAGAUGAAUUUAAUAAAUUACUUGACAAAAAAAAUAAAUAAAUUGUUAAUAUGUCACACGCACUUAGUCAUUAAUUUUAUUAUUUUUGACAAAUAGUCAUUAAAACUCAUGGAACCCACGUUCAUGAAGUUUUUUUUUUAAAGAGGUUCACUGGUUGAUUUAGGUGUUAGACUAUUUUCUUCUUAAAUUAACAAUAACUGAAAUUAAUCUGUGAAAUGAAUUUUUUUUUUAAGUCACCAUUGUUUUUUAUUGACCAAUUCGGUCUUUAAGAUAGUCUCAGAUAUUGAUUGAUACAAGGAAAGUAUUUUUAAUUUUAUAAUGAUUUCAUAAAUUCUUUAAUUUUAGGAUCGACUUAUGUAAUUUUUUUAGUACAAAUUGAGUGGUUUGUUUUUCUAUUUCACAUGGCUAACUGUAUUUUCCCUUCAUUUUUCGUGACUUUUAUUUCUCUUUUGCAACAAGUGCUGAAAUAAACUGUUAACAAGAAACUGUUUUCAUUAAUCAUGUUUCUUUUGAAGGGUUUCCUAGACUUAAAAGAUUGGAGACAUUAGAUCUUUCAGGGAACUAUCUAAAUAGUAGCAUUUUGCCAAGUUUAAAUGGAUUGACUGCUCUAACAACUUUGAAGUUGGGUUCUAAUUUGAUGAAAAACUUCUCUGCUCAAGGUACGUUUUGUUUCAAUAAUUUAUUUAUGGAGUUUAUGUGAUGAAGUGAAUGAAUUAAGAAGACAAUUAUAAGAUCCCCAAGAAAAUAUUAAUUUUUAACGAUAAUAAGAAACUUUAAAUAAAAUGAAAAACUGGUUAUGAAUCAUUGGUAGGAAUUGAAAUUAAUUAACAAAAGCUUUUCAUUAGGAGGAAAGAAAUCGGAAUAAAAAGUGAAUGCAAUACUUGUUUGCACACUUAAAACUACUCAUCAUUAUGUAUAUUGUUCAAGGAUUUUCGAGAUCAAAGGAGUUGGAAGUCUUAGACCUUUCAGGAAAUAGGCUGAAUUGCAACAUCAUAUCAAGUUUGCAUGGAUUCACAUCAUUAAGGAGUUUGAUUCUAAGUGAUAACAAGUUCAAUUGUUCUUUCUCCACUUUCGGUACACAUCUUCAAUUCUUAUAUUAUGAUGAAUGUUUUUAUUUUCAUUUUUUAAAAAGAACUAUAUUAUGUCCUUGCUACAGAUUUUGCCAAAUUUAGUCGGCUAGAACUAUUGGACUUGAGUAUCAAUGGAUUUGGUGGUUCUCUACAUGUGGAAGGUACCUGUACUAUUAUUAUUGUUGUUUGUUAUUUUUUUGGGCACAGCAGAUAUAUAAUGUCACUCUCCACACAAUACUCUUUAGACACUGUGGAGCCUUGAGCUUCCAUAAAUUUUUCCACAAACCUGCAUUCUCAUCCAAAGGUGGUUAUGGACUUUGACUAGCCAUUUCCUCUUUGACGCGAUAGGUUGCCGACUUCAAUGAGUAAAUGCCAUCUUUAUCAUAUUCCCAUACCAAUUUCUCAUCUAGGAUUCUCCAAGAAUUUGAGAUUUCAUCUUCUUGUUUUGUCAUAUGCACCACUUCAUUCCCAAAUAUAUUCAUUAAGAUCCUAAUGCAUAAUUUGGUUGGUAACCAAUAUGAGCAAUGAAUUCUCAGUGGAAACUAGUCUUCAACGCUAUUCUCUAACUAUGUACUCUCUUUUUUUCCUGCAGAUGUUCAACAUUUGAAAAACUUGAAAAUGUUAAGUUUAAGAAAUAAUCAAAUGAACGGCUCAAUUGAAGGUAUCAAUACUACCAAACACAAAUAAUUAAUUCAUAAUUGCUUCACGGGAUGGUUUUGGGGAUGGAUUGUUACAAUGAAGAUAACUUUUAUAUUGAUUUUAAAUUUUAAAUAAUUAACAAAAAGAAUGAAAUAAGUUAAUUAAUGUAUAUAUUGACGCCAUUGGAAAAACUUUUAAGAUUUUUAUGAUAAUGUCAAUUUUUGUAUAGAUGACAGGACAUAGUUAAUUAAUUAUGACAGGACUAUGCAAUUUGAAGGAUUUGGUAGAAUUGGAUAUCAGCUAUAACAUGUUUAGUGCUAAACUUCCAGAGUGUUUAAGCAACUUAACAAACCUUAGAGUUCUUGAACUUAGUAAUAAUCUGUUCAGUGGAAAUUUUCCAUCUUUCAUUAGCAAUCUCACAUCACUGGCAUACUUAUCCUUCUAUGGAAAUUACAUGCAAGGAUCAUUUUCAUUGAGCACUUUGGCUAAUCACUCAAAUCUUCAGCAUCUAUAUAUUUCACCGGAAAACAGUGGAGUUCUCAUUGAAACUGAAAAGACAAAGUGGUUUCCCAAAUUUCAAUUGAAGACACUCAUUCUUAGAAAUUGCAACCUAAACAAGGAGAAAGGAGGUGUCAUUCCUACUUUUCUUUCAUAUCAAUAUAAUUUGAUAUUCUUGGACCUCUCCAGAAACAAUUUAGUUGGUUCAUUCCCAAGUUGGUUGAUAGAUAAUCAUAACAUGAAUUAUUUGGAUAUAUCAAACAACAAUUUGAGUGGUUUGCUUCCAAAAGAUAUUGGUAUAUUCCUUCCUAGUGUUAAGUAUUUGAACUUUUCAUGGAAUAGCUUUGAAGGAAAUAUACCUUCAUCAAUUGGUAAGAUGAAACAACUUGAGUACUUGGACCUCUCUCAGAAUCAUUUCUCAGGUGAGUUACCUAAACAACUGGCCACAGGUUGUGAUAAUUUACAAUACUUGAAGCUCUCCAACAACUUUCUACAUGGGAAGAUUCCAAGAUUUUCAGUGAAUAUGUUUGGGUUAUUUCUUAAUAAUAACAACUUUAGUGGAACACUUGAAGAUGUAUUGGAAAACAAUACAGGAUUAGGAAUGUUAUUCAUAUCCAAUUACUCAAUCACAGGCAAAAUUCCUAGUUCAAUUGGGAUGUUUUCUGAUAUGCAAGUCCUUCUUAUGUCCGGAAAUCUAUUAGAAGGUGAGAUCCCUAUUGAGAUUUCCAACAUGGCCAUUCUUCAAAUGUUGGAUCUUUCUCAAAACAAGUUAAAUGGAUCGAUCCCAAAGUUCAGUAGUUUGACAUCUCUAAGGUUCUUGUAUUUGCAAUAGAAUGAUCUCUCUGGAUCAAUACCAUCUGAACUCUCUGAAGGCUCACAACUACAACUUCUAGAUUUAAGGGACAACAAAUUUUCAGGUAAAAUUCCCAAUUGGAUGGAUAAGCUCUCAGAGUUAAGGGUCCUUCUAUUAGGAGGGAACAAUUUUGAAGGAGAUAUUCCAAUUCAAUUGUGUCCUUCUAAAAAAGAUCAACAUAAUGGACUUAUCACGGAACAUGCUCAAUGCUUCAAUACCAUCUUGCUUUCAAAAUAUGUCAUUUGGAAUGAGACAAUAUGUUGAUGCUCACGGUUUUGAAUUCUCAAUGUCCGAAGGUUUCACAGGUGAAUUUAUUCCAAAUUUGAAUUCUUUCUUCAAUGCUAGUUUGUCUAUUGGGCAGUUUUUUAAUGAAAAUUCGUUGGAUGAAGAUCUAGAAUUUGAAGUGCAGUUUAGAACAAAGCACUAUGAUUACUUUUACAAGGGUAUAGUUCUAAAGAUCAUGACUGGAUUGGAUUUAUCAUGCAAUAAGCUAACAGGUGUCAUCCCUUCUCAAAUUGGAGACCUACAACAAAUUAAAGCCUUGAAUCUAUCACAUAAUUACUUGUCUGGUCCUAUUCCAAUAACUUUUUCAAAACUUACCCAAAUAGAGAGCCUUGACUUAUCAUACAAUAACUUGAGUGGUAAGAUUCCUUAUGAACUAACCAAGUUGACCUCUUUAGAAAUCUUCAAUGUGUCAUACAACAACCUUUCUGGAACACCACCUAGCACAAGACAAUUUGCAAACUUUGAUGAGUACAACUACAGAGGUAAUCCCGGUCUUUGCGGACAACUCCUAAAUCAAAAGUGUGAACGUGUCGAGUCUUCACCUUCAUCACAAUCCAAUGACAAUGGAGAAAAGCAAACCAUGGUGGACAUGAUAACAUUUUAUUGGAGUUUCAUAACAUCUUAUAUUACAAUACUAUUGGCCUUCAUAACUGUGUUGGGCAUCAAUCCACGUUGGCGUAUGGCCUGGUUUUAUUACAUCAGUAAGUUUAUGCGUAGAUUCUUUCCAUCUUUUCCAUUAUAUUGAUGAGUGUCCAUAGUUCCUGUUGAAACUUUAUGUGGAGUCUAAAAUAUUUGGAUACUGUAUUUUUUAUAUUUACCGUUAAUUCCAGACAGUUUGAGACAUUGGCUUUUAAGCUCCUCUUGUCAACUUUAUGUUCAUCAUGUUGUUUGUGUGAUGUACUUAUCUGGAGAACUUUGAAGAUAUUGUGAUAUAUUAUUUUUGAAGAUCCAAGAGUUCCUCAAAUAGCUCUGAGACCUGUUUCAAAGAUCCAUCAAAUGACGUUCUGCAGCCAUUGACCCGGCAGCAGCCAUUGAUUCUGUGACAGGCCCUAUGCUAGAGUAUUAUUGAAAAGACGAAAAGAAAACGAGCAAAAACUGUUUUUUACUCGAGAGCAUGCUCUGUCGAUGGAAUCAUUCCCUUCUAGAGAGCCUUGUGUACAAUACUAACUCCAAUGCCAUUAAUAUUUGCCUUUAGUUUUCUUUUGUCAAUAAUAAUUCUUCAAGCACCAAAUCGGUCCAUGUCUAAGCCACUCAAAUUAAUCACUAACUCUAUUAAUAUUUCAAAUUAUUCAUUUUUUUUAUCAAAAGUUUCUGAACCAGAUCCUUCGACAUGUGACAAAAACAUAAAGAAAAGGUUCUAAUUGACAAACUUUUGACUAAGUGCUUUUGUAAGUAAUUCAUUAUGAGACCCUACGUUUUACAGUUGCUUUCAUAAUGUUAUUGUUUUUUCAUUGAAAGGUUUAGCUCUCGUAUUAACACUUUAGUUGUUUUCUAUAAAAGUAACUUCUUAUAUUUUUCAAAUAACUGGAAUGUCAAUGUAGGUUGAAUCUGGGUGCAGAACUAUGACAGAAGCGAUAUUACGAGUAGAUUUACACAUUUGUCUUAAAAUGACCGAAAUUAAUAAAUAGGUAAGAGUAUAAUAGAAAAAUUAGCAUUAAUGUUUUAUUGUUACUGUAAAACAAUUAUUUUUUUAUUUGUCCUCGUGAGUUUAACUCAGUUGGUAUAGAUAAUGUAUAAUAUAUGUAAGGUCCAGGUUCAAAUCCCAGCCAAAAAAAAAAAAAAAAACAAUUUCUUUUUUCUUUCCUGAAUUAUAAUUUGAGAUGGAGAGAGUAUUAAUUAAACUAGUAAUGUUAACAUACGUAUUUAAUCUUGCAAGAUAACAUUAGCAUCUUUGUCAAAUAUCAUCAUCUCUAGUCAACUCCAAGUCUUUCCUGAGGUUCCAGGAAGUUUCUUGCAAUUAAAAAGUCCCAUCUUUUUUUUUUUAGCAAAGACAAAAUUAAUGCAUUUCAUUCAAAAACAAAAAGUAACAAAGUUGAAGGUACACUAUAAAAAAGAUGGGGGCUAAGAUGAGAUAAGGAAGCUCUAGCUAUACUAUGAGCAACCCUAUUAGCUUGUCUCCUAAUAUACGACACUUUAAAGUCGGUAUUUGUAAACAAGAGACCUCUACAUUGAGAAAUAAUGUCUCCAACUUCAUUGAGGUGAGCGGAGGUAGUGUGAAUGGCAUCAGCAAGGGUCAUACAAUCUGUUUCAAAGCGGACAGUUUGAAAUCCCAAAGAGAUUGCCAAUUUUAUCGCCUCCGACAAUGCAGUAGCUUCAGCUUCUAAAACAGUCAUCGAGGAUGGAAAAAAUGCAGAUUUUGCAAUUAAGAGUUUCCCCUCCGAAUUUUGAAAACAGAUUUCAUAUCCAACAAUUGAUUAUGGUGGAAAAUUGCUGCGUCAACGUUGCAUUUUAUCACACCGGAAGGCGGUUUAACCCAAGAGAUGAUGUGGUUUGAAUUUUGAACCUGUAGUUUAGCUCUUUACAUACAAGUCCAUUCGUGGAGUGUAUCCUUUGCUCGAGUAAUAACAACAGUGGCUGGUGUAUUGGAAGACUCCCAAAGUCCCAUCUUUUAGUAUAAGGUGAAUACAGGAAUUUGGGGCAAGACCGAAAAGUCCCAAUAUAAUUGAUUCUUGCAGGAAAGAAAGACACUUACAAAACUAAAUGAUAUUCACCGUCAAUUUACAGAUUUUUUACACUCGCAAUUGUCAUAUCAUUAAAACCAUUUAACUUCAUUGAUAACUACUUCUAAAAUUACAUAAAUAUGAUUUGAUUGUGAUUUGUUAAUAAUAUAAUAUUUUUAAAUUGACAGUGUAUAUAAAAAAUUAACUAUGGCUACAUCAAGGUUUAUUAUAUCAUAGUUUAAAAAGUGAAUACUUUUUCCUCUCCUCACUGAUUCCAUUUUUUUUCUUCCGAUGUAAGCAUGAAUCGAAAGUUUUCAGUUUGAAGAGAAUAAGAAUUUUGGGGAGUUCUCUGAUUUUCCUUACCCUGUUAGCUCAAUUUCACUGACUUAGAACAUAGAAGAGGAAUGGAAAAUUCAAAUACAAAAUCUAGGCAAUGGCCAGCAUUUUAAGUAUAAUAGAUGGGGAAAAAAAGUAUUUAGAAGGAAAUAAUUAAGAUUUAUUGAUAUUGAAAAAAAAAAUAAGAUUUAUUGAUAUUGUAAAAUGAUAUGUAAAAUGAUAUAUAUAGUUUCUAAACUAAUUCAUAUAGUUACUAUUAUAGUAUUUUUGAAUCCUCAUGAGGACAUUAUUGUUCUUCCUAUCAAUCAAGUUAAGAAAUUAAUUCAUAUUGUUUAAACUCAACACCCUCGAGACUAGGGUUUCUAGUGUCAUAAAGAAUUGACUGAAAAGAGAAAUUUUAUUUGGUUUAAUCGAAAGACUCUAUUAGGACAGUCAUGAUACUAAUUUGCUUAUUAUAACUUUGUAGCUACAUAAGAUGGAUGACAAUACAGUGUUUCUUAAUGACAACAUUAAUGAUACAAUAUGGUGCAACUGAAGAAAACUUUCGUGUCAAUUGAUAUAAAAGUAGAUGAUUUGCAAAAUCAUGUAAUCCACUUAUGAGUUAAGAAAUUUGUCUCUUUAGUGUUACCAUAAAUUUUGAUAAAGUAAUUGUCUCAUUUGGUUUUGAGAUAAUAUUAUGAAGAAUUGUGGAUUUAGUAAGCUCAGUGGGGGUAAACUUAUAUUUCUAGUUUAAUGUGCCGGUUUUAUUUUAUUUAGUCAACUAUGAUAUAUGUUCGUUGUGUGAAACCAAGAAAUCUCUAACAAAAGUUUGGUGAUGAAAGAUCUUAGGGACACCUCUUUUGUUUAAGCAUUUUUGAUACUUAGAGAUACUUCUCAAGGUAUCCUUCAGAUGAUGUCACAAAAGAAUUAUAUCAAUAAAGUUGAAAAUGAAAUGACAUAAUUUUUUGGAUGAUCUCAAUCACCGAGAGAGACUUUUCAGUCUCAAAUAUUGCCCAAUUAAAAAAUUUAUGAAUUCAUAAAUUUAAGUAUUUUCCUACAUUUUACCUAUAGGAUUUUUAUGUAUGAUUUUAUUAUACACAUUUGGAAAUAGCGUAUUUAAUGAGAUUGAAAUAUGAGAGGGGAAAGGAAAAGGUUAGAAGAUGUAGGGUAAAACUGAUUCUCAUUGAUUAACUACAUUGAUACAUGGCAUAUAUAGAGUCGUAUGAAAAGUUAGUUGAUAACAAACUAGCUUACUUGCCAAACAAGUAAGUCCAUAACUAACUAACAGACUAAUGAGAAUAAAACAAUGUUAUAUACCUAACAAUCACUCCCCUUGUUUGAAAAAUACUUCUAGCUUCAAAGGUUUAGUCUUGAUGUCUGCUGGUUGAUUAAUGUUUGAACUAUAAUAAGCAAAUUCCAUAACUCCUUCUUUUGUUAAGACCCUACGAAAAUAUAUGUGAUAUCUAUGUGCUUACAUCUUCCAUGCAUUGAAAGAUUCUUUGACAAUUUUCCUGAUGAAUAUAUGUACUACAGAUCAGGGCUGGCCAUGGACCUGUGCAAACAGUGCUACGACACAGGACUUCAAAGUUUUGAGGGCCUAAAUUUUAAAGGUCAAAAUUAUGAGUUAUGAUCUUCUUCAUUUUCCUUAUUUAUUACUAUAGCUUUGAAGAUUUUUAAAGUAUAUAUUAAAUAAUAGAAAAUGUUACGAAUGUCCACGAAAUAUUCUUUAAAGUCUUUAAAUUUGUGUAUUCAAUUAUGGUUUGAAAUUAAAGUAUUUUAUUUUCUAAGGAAUAAUUUCUUAAUUUGAUAUUCUUAAUGAGGACCUCGGAGACACUCGUUGGUCGUUAGUAGAACCUUUAAAUAAUUAAGGGCAAAUUACACUCACCUCUCUUGAGGUCUCUUUAAACAACACAUAUACCCCCUCUAGUUUUCAAAAACACUCACCUCCCCUCUAAACUAACUCUGCUAGCCUAAAAUGUUGAUUCUUAACAACCCUGAUUCAUUCCAUUACAGAAAAACUCCACUACAAUGAAAUCUUUAUCUACCGUGUAAAUUUAUAGGUUCGUCACCGGUAUUCAUACAUUCCACCGCUAUGGGCAACUCCAAAUCAAUUUCACCAUUCUCUAAACAAUUCUUAAAAGUAUAUCACUUUUAAAAAAGCGUACCGCACUAGCUAGAUGUACAUAGAAAGCAAGAACCAAUUUUUGACUUCAAGCAGGGCCCAAGUAAAAAGCAAAGCAUUGAAAUCAUUGCAAGAGCAGAAACGACCCUGCCAACAAUCAAGAUUUAAAAAUAAUUGCUGUUUUCUUUAGUGAUUAGUUACAUAAUGGAGUGUAGAAUGGUUACAAUAACAUAGAUUUUCAAAUCACUUAGAAUUUUAUAAUAUAGUUUAGGCACGGUCAUCACAUACCUAAUUAGUGAUUUAAAUUUGAUUUUUUAUAGUGAAAGAAUCUAUGUUUCUUAUGAUUUAUAAUUUUUUAACGAGUAAACAACAAUUUUGUUAUCUGAAUAUGUGACAAAUUAUCACCAUAGUCUUUGAUGUAUCGAAAUUACAAAUGCAUCUUCAAGUGUAUCUUUAAUUAAUCAUUAUCAUCUUCAAACAUAUUUCGUCGUUUAUCAUUUUAGUCCUUAAAAUGUAUCUUUAGUGAUGAUUUAUUAAUAUUAUAAAAUGUGAAAUAACUGGUACAAACUUUUUUACAUCUCAAUCAACCAACAAAUCCGUCCAAAAGUUAGAAUCUCUUCCAUCUCUUAUGACCUUUCUUAAAUUUCCCUCAAAUCACCCCGGUAAUGAUGAUAUAGACCUUAAAUCCCUCCACCAAACUGAACCAAUGUUUCUUACCAAAUUCAAACUAUCAUCAUAUUUGGCGUUUGUCUUUUAGCCCUAUUUUCUAAACAAACAAACAAACAUAAAUAAGUUGUAAAAAAGAGAGAAUUGAACUUAAAAUCUUAAGAUGAGUGUACUUUAUGAUCUCAAAUCAAUACCACGAGACACACUCAAAUGAGUUUCCACUUUCUAUUUCUCAUUGUUUCUAAUCUAUCCAUCCAUGAAGCACAAUACUCCUCGGGUUAAGGGUGUGUCCCGGUGUGAAAUAUGUAUCGUGUCCCACACCAACACCGACACCGACACAUAUCUCCGUGUCGUAACUGCAUCUGAGUUUGUGCUUCACAUCCUUCCAUCAACAUCAAUUCUAAGAGUAUUUUACAGAUCCACAUCCUAUGCAAGAAAUCACCCUUUCAUUGACCUUGCGAGUGUAUAUCCCCUCAAUUCUAUCCCAAAGCUUUAAAACAAUCAAGGAGCUCAAUUAUGCUUUGAGAAGACACUAACUAAUAGUAACUAAGGUCAUGGAAAUGGGAAGUGAAGUCAUUGAAACUCAACAAGACAUCAUUAAGUUGCUCCCACAAUGAAAUUGGAUCAAAUUCAAAACAAUCUCCAUCAUGAUCGUAAUAUGGAAUUAAGGAUGUGAUUUUGUGAUACAAUUUUUUUUGUUUCUUUCUUCAAAUUUACAGUAACUCUUUACAACUAUUACACACAUAUUUAAUAAAAUUUUACAAGCUUGUUGAAUUUCAAAAUUCAGUUUUAAGAUGAAAAUCAUACCCAUGAUAUCAAUAAAACUUCACUCCAAUUCAAAAUUAACUCGAUAUAUACACUUUUGAAAUAUAUAAAAAAUAAAUAAAAACAUCUUAUUGUAAACUUAUUUUUGAUUAAAUCUUAUAAGAUUUUAACAUAAAAAAUCAAUGUAAAUAGUUAUUCUAAAAAUAUCAUAUUAUAUCUAAAAUUUAUACUAUAUAUAAAGAAAACUACCCCUUUCAGCAUUUUAGGGUUGUAUUUUUUCUUCCAAAAAUACCCUAAAUUUUCAAAUACAAAUAACACAUGUAACAAACAAAUAGAUAAAAAUAAAUUUAAUAUUAAAACAAAUAUAACAAACACGAUAUGAAUAUAUAUAUAUCUUUGGUUUUUUUUCUUUUUCAUUUAAUAAGUGUAACAAACUAGAUGAGGAUAUUUAUACUUACUUUUACAUUAUUUCAAUUAAAUCCUCAAACAACUUUUUCUAUAAUAAAUAUUGUUAUUGGUUUCAUUAAAAUAAAAGAAUUUUAGAUUAUAUUUUUUUUGUUAUAUUGUUGGUGUAAUUGAAAUAGAUAAUCAUGGUUAGAUUGCUUUGUUAUAACUUGAAAAUAACAAACAUUUAUAUUUUUAAUUUUAAUCAAAAUAAAAUUUCAUAAAAAACAUCGUUCAUAAUUUUCAAAUGUUAGCGCAAUAAAAAGAGCGGAAAGACAGACAGGUGAGUGCCCGUCUUUUCGCUAGUCAUCAAUAAUGUAAGUGUACUGAAGUUUUAUCCAUUCUCAAGUUAUAUCACUGCCACAAAUUGUUCUAAACAAUUGUUUCAUUUAAUUAAGAAAUGUUAAAUAAGUCCCUUAAUAAAAAAUGAGAAUAUUUAACUGAAAAUUGAUUGGCGGUUUCACUCGCUAUCGGCAUUUGGUGGAACACCUUAAUCUUACUUAUCGGUAGACCUUUCCGUGGUCCAAUUCUUAAUUAAAGUAUCGAUUAUUAGGACUUAAGUCCAUGAGAAGAGCCUCAUGGUUUAAAUGACGCAUCAAGCACUUUGGUCUACUUGAUUUGGGACUCCUAACAUAUUCUUUGCAGCUAUAACAACGUUUCUUCGCAGCUUGAUAAGAUUUUGUGGCGGUAGUUUACGUGAUUUUUUUCUUCGAUAUAUUAAAACGGAAAACAAAGGUAUCAGACACUACCUAUACCUCUUUGCCAUAUCCAUUUUUAUGAUUACUGAUUGUAUUUUUAGAACCUUGGCAACUACUACCUCUGUCGUAAAUUAUAAGUUGUUUUGGUCAUUUCACACGUAUUAAAAAUUGAAAUUAAUUUGUAUAUGAAAGAGAUAUUAUGAGUUGCUUUACACAAUUAUCUUAAUAAAUAGUAUCAGAAAAAUAAAUUAAAGAAUUGAAAUGAGUAAUAUUAAUAAAUAGUUAAGAGUAUAAUAGAAAAAUUAUUACUAAUGUUUUUAUUGUUAUUGUAAAACAAUUUAUAAUUUGAGACAACUUUUUUUCCAUACUUAUAAUUUGAGACAGAGAGAGUAUUAAACUAAUAAUGUUCACAUACGUAUUUAGUCUUGCAAGAUAACAUUAGCAUUUGUCAUAUGUAAUCUUCUCUAGUCAACUUCAAAUCUUUCUUGUGCUUCGAGGAAAUUUUUUGCAAUUGAAAAGUCCCAUCUUUUAGUAUAAUAAUAUAAAGUGAAUACAGGAAUUUGGGGCAAGACUGAAAAGUCCCAAUAUAAUGAUUCUUGCUUGAAAAAAAAGACACUUACAAAACUGAAUGAUAUGUUAUCAUAUUUUUCGGGUAACAUCUUGCAAUUUUUACGAGUUUAAUUUAUAUGUGCCAUCAAUUUAAAGACUUUUUUAUGAUAACUACUUCUAAAAUUAUAGAUAUGAUUGAAUGUGAUUUGUUAAUAAUUUAACUUUUUUUACAUUGACGAUGUAUAUCAAAAUUAACUAUGGCUAUAUCAAGGUUUAUUAUAUCAUAGUUUAAAAAGUGAAUACUUUUUCCUCUCCUCACUGAUUCCUUAUUUUGUCCGAUGUAGGAAGGUCCCGAAAGUUUUCAGUUUGAAGAGAACAAGAAUUUUUGGGAGUUCUGAUUUUCCUUUCCCUAUUAGCUCAGGAAUGGAAAAUUCAUAUAAAAAAUCUAGGCAAUGGCUAAAACAGCAUUUUAAGUAUAAUAGAUGAGGAAAAAAAGCAUAAUAGAAGAAAAAAAAUUAAGAUUUAUUGAUAUUGGAAAAAAUUAAGAUUUAUUGAUAUUGUAAAAUGAUAUAUAAAUGGGAGAAAAAAAGUAAAUUGGGAGAAUUUUACUUCUUAUAACUUUAAUAAUCUUAUUUUAAACUGGUUAAACUUUUCUUAAUGACCGACGUUAGUAUAGUUAAUUACUUACCAUACUAUUUGUUAGAGGGAGGAGUUGAAUAAAUGACCUCUUUACCACUCAAUCCUUAUUGAAAGUAAUACGUAUUUAAAUAUCAUGUAAGAUAAGUUUAGCAUCUUUCUUAAAUGUCAUCAUCUCUAGUCAACUCCAAGUCUUUCUUUUGCUUGGAGGAAGUUUCUUGUAAUAGAAAAUAUCCCAUAAUUUUAGUAUAUAUAAUAUAAUAAUAUGAGAUGAUUAUAUGAGGUCGGGAAGAACUGCUCACAUUCCUAAAAAAAAUGAAGCUGGGUUUGAUAAAUAGUUUCCUUUUAUAUUUUGUGACAUUGAUGUUAAUGCUAACUCAAGGAUGUAACGGUUGCUUAGAGAAAGAGAGAAUAUCAUUGUUGGAGAUCAAACACUACUUCUUGUCACAAACAGGAGAUCCUUACAAUAAAUUGGGUUCAUGGGUUGAUGAUAGAGAUAGCAAUUGUUGUUCUUGGAACAAUGUCAAGUGCUCUAACAUCUCUUCGGGUCACAUAAUUGAAUUAUCCAUCCGAAAGUUACUAUUCGAUAUACCCUUUGAUAUGAAGUUAAAUGUUUCACUAUUCCGUCCAUUUAAAGAGCUACGGCUCCUCGACUUGUCCUACAACUCCUUUCUAGGCUGGAUUGGCAACGAAGGUACUACGUUCGUCCUUAUAUAUAAAAUUUCUUUAAUAAACUUAUACAAAUUAAAAAAGUUCAUUAAUUUUUAUUUGUUGUGUUAAAUUUAUUAACAUUUUAAUUUAUAUUGUCAUAAUUAGCAAUAAUUGACGGGUGAGUUUAAGUUUUCUAAAAAAGAUUGUUAUUUUACAACAUGAAAAUUCAAUGUUCAAAUCUCAAUUAAGAGAGAUGUCAGUACUUUCUAUUUAUUACAAUAUCUUAUAUACGAAUUAAAAAUCAAUGAUCUUAUAAAAUUUGGUGGGAUCAAUAUAAAUUUCAACCAAUACAAACAUAAGUGUUGUAAAUAGUAUAUCACUAGCAUAAUUAAAAAAUACAUAAUACAAGAGAGAAUUUUCUUAUAGGUACAAGAGAGAUAUUUUUACUGAAGCCUUUUAUAGUGUUGUAAAAAGUGUGGUAAAUAGUGUGUUACUAGCAUAAUUAAAAAAAUAUUGUUAUAUUUGUCGUUGUAUCCAUCAAUUUGGUCUCUCUAAGAUAGUCUCAGAUACUAAUUAAAACUAUGAAAGUGUUUAUAAUUUUACGAUGAUUUUAUAAAUUCUUUAAUUUUAGGAUCGAGCUCUGUAAUUUUUUAGGCCAAUUGAGGGAUUAAUUUUUCUAUUUUAUUGUUCUCUUUCAUUUAUUAAUUUUUCUAUUUCAUGGUUCACUGUUUUUUUGUUCUCUUUCAUUUUUCAUGACUUUUGUUUCCAUAUUGUAACAAAUUUAAAAAUAAACCAUUGACAUAAACAUUUUUCAUUAAUCACUGUAUUUUCCCUUCAUUUUUCGUGACUUUUAUUUCUCUUUUGCAACAAAUGCUGAAAUAAACUAUUAACAAGAAACUGUUUUCAUUAAUCAUGUUUCUUUUGAAGGGUUUCCUAGACUUAAAAGAUUGGAGACAUUAGAUCUUUCAGGGAACUAUCUAAAUAGUAGCAUUUUGCCAAGUUUGAAAGGAUUGACUGCUCUGACAACUUUGAAGUUGGUUUCCAAUUCGAUGGAAAACUUCUCUGCUCAAGGUACAUUUUGUUUCAAUAAUUUAUUUAUGGAGUUUAUGUGAUGAAGUGAAUGAAUUAGAAUACAAUUAUAAGAUCCCCAAGAAAAUAUAAUUUUUAACGAUAAUAAGAGACUUUAAAUAAAAUGAAAAAGUGGUUAUGAAUCAUCGGUAGGAAUUGAAAUUAAUUAACAAAAGCUUUUCAUUAUGUAUAUAUAUUGUUGAAGGAUUUUCGAGAUCAAAGGAGUUGGAAGUCUUAGACCUUUCAGGAAAUAGGCUAAAUUGCAACAUAAUAACAAGUUUGCAUGGAUUCACAUCAUUAAGGAGUUUGAUUCUGAGUUACAACAACUUCAAUUGUUCUCUCUCCACUUUAGGUAAACAUCUUCAAUUCUUAUAUUAUGACGAAUGAUUUUAUUAUCAUUUAUUAAAAAGAAAUAAAUUAUGUCCUUGCAACAGAUUUUGCCAAAUUUAGUCGGCUAGAACUAUUGGACUUGGGUGGUAAUCAAUUUACUGGUUCUCUACAUGUUGAAGGUACUUUUACUGUUAUUGUUGUUUCAAAUAUUACAAAGAAACACAAAAUUUAUUAUUACUAUUUAUGGCAAAACAAUUUAUAUAUAGGAAAAUUUCUUCUAUUUGAGAAAUUCAGACUUUGUUUAGGAAUUUAAAAUCCACAUUAUAAAUCAUAUUCUCAAUAGAAACUCUAAGUUAAUGAGUUUACAAUCUCUAAUUAAAUUCAAUAAAAUAAUUCUCCACACAAUUCGCCACAUUAUAAAUCAUAUUCUCAAUAGAGGCUUCCAUAAAUAUUUCCACAAACCUGCAUUCUCAUCCAAAGGUGGUUAUGGACUUUGUCUAGCCAUUUCCUCUUUGACGCGAUAGUAUGCCGACUUCAAUGAGUAAAUGCCAUCGUUAUGCAAAAUUAAGUUCAGGAAAAACGUGAGUAAUUUUGGCAGAAUAAAAAUAACAAAGACAUCAAGCCUCAAUUCUAUCAAUAAUAUAACCUUAUCGUUUAAUGCUAAUACUUUGACACCAAGUCAAACAUAAUCUGUUCUUCAAAAAUAAUAGUCAAACAUAAUUUGAAUUUUUUUUUGGGGAAUAGUUCUUACCGAUUUAUUUAUUGAAAAUUAUAUCUCUAACUAUGUACUCUCUUUUUUUUUCUUCUGCAGAUGUUCAACAUUUGAAAAAUUUGAAAAUGUUAAGUUUAAACGAUAAUCAAAUGAACGGCUCAAUUGAAGGUAUCAAUACUACCAAACACAAAUAAUUAAUUCAUAAUUGCUUCACGGGAUGGUUUUGGGGAUCGAUUGUUACAAUGAAGAUAACUUUUUUUUUUAUUUUAAAUUUUAAAUAAUUAACAAAAACAACGAAAUAAGUUAAUUAAUGUAUAUAUUGACGCCAUUGGAAAAACUUUUAAGAUUUUUAUGAUAAUGUCAAUUUUUGUAAAGAUGACAGGACAUAGUUAAUUAUGACAGGACUAUGCAAUUUUAAGGAUUUGGUAGAACUGGAUAUCAGCAAAAACAUGUUUAGUGCUAAACUUCCAGAUUGUUUAAGCAACUUAACAAACCUCAGAGUUCUUGAACUUAGUAAUAAUCUGUUCAGUGGAAAUUUUCCAUCUUUCAUUAGCAAUCUCACAUCACUGGCAUACUUAUCCUUCUAUGGAAAUUACAUGCAAGGAUCAUUUUCAUUGAGCACUUUGGCUAAUCAUUCCAAUCUUGAGGUUCUAUAUAUUUCAUCAAAAAACAAUAUUGGAGUAGACAUUGAAACUGAAAAAACAAAGUGGUUUCCUAAAUUUCAAUUGAAGUCACUUAUUGUUAGAAAUUGCAACCUAAACAAGGACGAAGGAAGUGUCAUUCCUACUUUUCUUUCAUAUCAAUAUAAUUUGGUAUACUUGGUCCUCUCCAGCAACAAUAUAAAUGGCUCACUCCCAAGUAAUUGGUUGAUACAUAAUGAUGACAUGAUAUAUUUGGAUAUAUCAAACAACAAUUUGAGUGGUUUGCUUCCAAAAGAUAUCGGUAUAUUCCUUCCUAAUGUUACCUAUUUGAACUUUUCAUGGAAUAGCUUUGAAGGAAAUAUACCUUCAUCAAUUGGUAAGAUGAAACAACUUCAACUCUUGGACUUCUCUCAAAAUCAUUUCUCAGGUGAGUUACCUAAACAACUGGCCACAGGUUGUGAUAAUUUACAAUACUUGAAGCUCUCCAACAACUUUCUACAUGGGAACAUUCCAAGAUUUUGUAAUUCAGUGAAUAUGUUUGGGUUAUUUCUUAAUAAUAACAACUUUAGUGGAACACUUGAAGAUGUAUUAGGAAAUAAUACAAGAUUAGAAACGCUGUCCAUAUCCAAUAAUUCAUUCUCAGGCACAAUUCCUAGUUCAAUUGGGAUGUUUUCUAACAUGUGGGCCCUUCUUAUGUCUAAAAAUCAAUUAGAAGGUGAGAUCCCUAUUGAGAUUUCCAGCAUAUGGCGGCUUCAAAUUUUAGAUCUUUCUCAAAACAAGUUAAAUGGAUCAAUCCCACCUUUAAGUGGUUUGACUCUUCUAAGGUUCUUGUAUUUGCAAGAGAAUGGUCUCUCUGGAUCAAUCCCAUAUGAACUCUAUGAAGGCUUCCAACUACAACUUCUAGAUUUGAGGGAGAACAAAUUUUCAGGAAAAAUUCCCAACUGGAUGGAUAAGUUCUCAGAAUUAAGGGUCCUUUUAUUAGGAGGGAACAAUUUUGAAGGAGAAAUUCCAAUGCAGUUGUGUCGGUUAAAAAAGAUCAACAUAAUGGACUUAUCACGAAACAUGCUCAAUGCUUCCAUACCAUCUUGCUUUCGAAAUAUGUUAUUUGGAAUGAGACAAUAUGUUGAUGCUGUUUUUGACCUCUCAUCCAUCUUAUAUGGCCAACAUAUACAAGACACACAUUAUUUCUUCGAUUCUAGUUUGUCGAUUGAUCUUCCAUUGGAAAAAGAUCAAUUGAUUGAAGAUCUACUACAUUUGGAAGUGGAGUUCAGAACAAAGCACUAUGAAUACUUUUACAAGGGUAAAGUUCUAGAGAAUAUGACUGGAUUGGAUUUAUCAUGCAAUAAGCUAACAGGUGUCAUCCCUUCUCAAAUUGGAGACCUACAACAAAUUAGAGCCUUGAAUCUAUCACAUAAUCACUUGUCAGGUCCCAUUCCAAUCACUUUUUCAAAUCUUACCCAAAUAGAGAGUCUUGACUUAUCAUACAAUGACUUGAGUGGUAAGAUACCCAAUGAACUAACCCAGCUAAACUUUUUGUCAACCUUCAAUGUGUCAUACAACAACCUUUCUGGAACACCACCUAGUAUAGGCCAGUUUGCAAACUUUGAUGAGGAUAACUACAGAGGUAAUCCCAGUCUUUGUGGACCACUCCUCAGUCGAAAGUGUGAACGUGUCGAGCCUCCACCAUCAUCCCAAUCCAAUGACAAUGAAGAAGAGGAAACUGGUGUGGACAUGAUAACAUUUUAUUGGAGUUUCACAGCAUCUUACAUAACAAUACUAUUGGCCUUCAUAACAGUGUUGUGCAUCAAUCCACGUUGGCGCAUGGCCUGGUUUUAUUACAUCAGUAAGUUUAUGCGUAGAUUCUUUCCAACUUUUCCAUUGUAUUGAAGAGUGGCCAUAGUUCCUGUUGAAACAUUAUGUGGAGUCUCAAAUAUUUGCAUAUUGUAAUUUUUAUAUUUACCUUUAAUUUCAGACAAUUUGAUGUUCGUUUCCUUUUGUGUUAUGUACUUAUCUGGAGUGCUUUGAAGCUAUUGUUAUAAAUUAUUGUUGUUUUUCCAACAUAUUGAAUCUAUCACAGAAUACCUUCCUUACAAGUUAUGCUUGCAGGGUGUGAAACAGAGGCGCUGUGAUAAAAGGAAACAUAUAUCAUUUGUCUCUAAUUAUAAAGCACUCGUUGGAAAAAUAAUUUCUCAUUAGGAAGAAGUUUUCACGACCUCUUUGCAAGAUUCAUACAGUCACGGUUUAAAAUAACGGUUAAGUCGUGUUAGGAUUUUGCGAUUUUGAUUGUUACGUGUAAGGGUUUGCACAAUUGAGAAUGUGAUAGAUGUCUAAUCUCAAAUUAAUUAUGAAAUCAAAGGUAGAAGUGAUAGAUGAAAACCUAAUUAAAAUUGGUCUUUUUAGUACAUAAAGAAAAAGAUAAAAGAAGAAAGGAGAGAUUUAAGUCAUUACUCUACAUGAGAGUACUAAAGAGAGAGGAGAGAUUUCAACAAUUUUCUUUAUACCUAUUAUUGAUCACCAUUUUCCUACUUAUGUGCGAGAGUUAACUUAAAAUCAAGAUCUGCAGGAAUCAUGACAUGAUUGCUGGGCAACGUGGCACGAUUGGAGAUUUCAAGUUUGAGGCAAAGCUCUGGAAAAAUCGUGGCACGAUGGGAUCACAUCGUGGCACGAUGGUGCGCUGGCAGCGAAAAACAGAAACAUAUUUUUGAGUGCAGAUUUGUUCCAAAUUUUAAGCGAUACUUUUACUAUAAAUAUAGACCUUGUAUCAGAGCAAACUUUGAGAUAGAGGGGGCUGAAACAAGGGUUUAGAAAGGCAACAACAAAACUAGGAUUUGUAUAGAGUUUGUCUCUUUGGAACAAACACUAGGUUUUGAGGGUUGAUUCACUUUGGGAAACACUAUUAGGAUUGAGUCUUUUGGUUACGGGAAGAGAUUGGGGCUUUGUGUAGAAUUAGGCGGGAGACUUAUUCUUGUAACCCAUUGAUUUCUCUUUUGUAACGAUACUCAUCAUAUAGUGGAUUGGAGGGCUGCUCUCUCCCCCAGACUAGGUCAAUUUGGACCGAACUGUGUCAACAAAUUCUUUUGUGUUCUUCUCGCCGUUGUUUUUCUACUUUUGGCUUGUAUUUAAUUGUUCCAUACACUUUGUUUUGGUUGCUUGAUUAUCCAUUGCUCCACACAUCAAGUUAUUAUUGGUGUGAUUUUCAUCGAAUUCACAACAUUAUGCAUAAUCCAAGCUUCCAUGAUUUUUUAAUCACUAGCCACAUGUCCAUUUGCCUCAACCAAUUAUGUUAUGCCGAGUGUAUUUUCUCAUGUUAUUUUCAAUCAUAACAUUGCACAAAUAUUAUUAAAAUUAUUUAUAUUAUCAUAUAAUGUAUAAUAACUUAAUUUCUCAUUGUUUCUUCAUAAUUUCAUUACUAUAAUUCUUUUCAUAAUUUUGUAAUGAAUUUUUUCUUAUAUAAACAAAAUUAACCUCUAAUAAAUUAGGUUGUAAUGUUUUAGAAGAGACAAGACCACAAAAAUUAAAUGAGACAAUAAAUGUAUGUUCCCUACCGUUCGUUGCAGCCGUAACGACGUUUCGUCGUCGCAUAAUAAAAUUUUUCUUUCGUUGUUUAUUUGAUUUUUGUUCGCUAUUGUUAUCGCGAUUUUCGGGUGUCAAGUCAUUAAUUAGGCUUGAACCUUUCAAUCUUUGAUAUUCUCUAUUUUUUCUUGGGAAGGGCAAAAUUGAGAAAAAACCCUUGGAUUCUAAGUUCGGGGGUCGUUUUCACUACGGGAAGGUGUUAGGCACCCGCGGUGACUAUAGUACUCUAUAGGAGCUGUUUUCUUAGUUUAUGUCUACGCUUUAUUUUUAAUGCUGUUUAUGAAAAAGGAAAUUUAUUUAUGUUAAGAAUGGGGGAGAAAGUGUUUGAGGUUUUAUUUUAGUGGACUUGGAGAGGUUUUGACCUCAUGCCUACAUACCCAUUUAAGGGAUCAAACUCCAUGUAGUUCUCUUUCAAAAAUGUUUUUUGUGUGUUUGGUUGAUUUUAGUUUUUGUUGGAAAAUGGUUUUGAAGAAGAGAAAGAGGCCUUAAAGGCAUAAGAGAAGAAAAUGGUGAAUGGUUGGUUCAAUUGUUAUUAAAAAAGUCUAAGUAGGAAUUAGGAUUCAUUUGGAUUUGGUUAAGAAAAUAAAGGAAAAAAUUCAAUGGAGUUUUGACUCCAAGGUUUGUUUGAAAAAAAAAUUGAGUGAUGGAAUUUAUUAUUUAUUUUUUUUUGAAAUUGGCAUUUGUCUAAAAAUCGCGUUUCCUAAGCAUACAUCUAAACGGUAAACAUGCAACGUGUGUGCGUGUCGGUGCUUGUGUCGGUGUACAUCAUUAGAGUCCAUUGUCCUUUACACUUUGCCCUAGUUUACAUGCUAUGGUCUUGCGAGUAAUUAAAAGAAAGCUAAUCUACCUAAAAUUAUUACAAACCCAUUUGAUAUAGAAAUGAAUAGAAAAAAAAAAGCCUAAACUAUGAGAUGGAUGAAAUAUGAAAUGAAAUGGUUAGUAUCAUAAGGCAUAAAAAAUGGUAAAAAGGGUAAACAAAAUUGAAUAGAAUAGCAAAAAAGAAAAGAGCAAUGAAAUGAAAUAAAAUGACAAAAUAUACCUAGAAUUAGGUAUAACACUUAGACAUGCAUAUGGCUUAUAAUUCCCUCAUCAUAGCCAUUUUUAAAAGAGAUUUGAUUUUAAGCUACAAUGUGAGGAUCAUAAGAACACACACAAGCAAAGCAUCAUACCAUAUUCCUAGAGAUAUUUUUACACAUUAUUUAACAUAGUAAAAAAAACAAAAAUAUCACAAAAUAUCAAAAAAUGCACCAAGAACAAAUAGGAAUUUAAUGAGCAAGAAUUGAAAAGAACAAAUGAAGAAAAUAAAUGCAAAAAAUAAGCAAGUAAAUUCUAACAUUUAGAAAAAAAUUAAAAUGAUAGGGAAACAUUUUUAGAAAAUUUUAGGAGCAUAAAAUGCCAAGAAAGUGUAAAAAAAGUAAUUUAAAACACAAUAAAAAAAGCAAUUAAAAAAAAAACUACAGCAGGUUAUAAUCUGGACCGUUGGAUGAAUCCAGAGGUCCAGAUCUAACUCCCAAGAUCUCAUCACAGCCACUGGAUCAAAGAUCCAAGGGUUAAAAAAAACAACAAAAAGAUAGUGUAAAAUUGCAGGAAGCACAAUGACCGUUAGAUCAAAGAUCUAACGGUUCAAACACAAGAUAUACCAUAUUUCACACAGAAGAUCACACACAUGAUUCAAGAUCAAAACACACAGCAGCCAUCAGAUCUUGGAACGAUCCAGAUCUGAUGGUUCACAAUACGAGGGAGCACAGCAAGAGCACGCAUGCGCGCGCGUGCGAACAGAGGAGUAUAAAAAGGAGUUUCAAACAAAAAAAAAAAACAAAAGUUCUCAAAAAUCCUCUCUCUUCUUUGGAUUCUAGAGAGAGAGAGUCUGACCUCUCUCUAGAAUCCGGUCAUCUUCUCCGGCGUAACCAGCUUCUCCGGCGCGGUGGCCGGCCACCGGUAAAUUUUUUUUUGGCUCCGAUUCAAAUUUUUUUUUACAUUUUUUAAACAUCCUUUUUUCUCCUAUGCAUGAAUCUGAGCUUAGUUUUUUGAAAAAGAAUUUCAACCGGAGUAGAUCUGAGUUUGAAGUCGCGGUUUUGAAAAAAAAUUUUAGGUUUGAAAUUUUCUUGACUCAAAUCCUUUUUAUCUUUCUCGAUCUGUAACGAUUCACUUGCGUUGAUGCUUUUCGAGAAAGAAAGAUGAAGUUUACGUGUUUACCUCUGGUUUAGUUGGAGAUUUCGAACUGAGAUCUUUGAGAAACUUGAAUCUUGGUGCUGCUUGUUGAUUUUUGUGUGAAAACCGAAAAUAAAUCGGUGUUCUUGCUGGUUUGAUUCUUUCUUCUUCUUCACCGGUUCAGAUUCCUGUUUCUUUCCUUCUUCUUCUUCACUGAUUCUCUGUGAUCGGUGCUUGAGUUUCCCAAUGGCGAAUUCGCGCCUUGAAUUGCAGAGAAUCCGGUUCAAUGAUGAUGAUUGUUUGAAGAAUCACUGAGAACUGAACGAAUUUAGUUGAAAUUGUUGAUGAAUUGUGAUUCUGGAAUUCUAGGGUUCAUGAAUGUUCUUCAUGUUCUUGAUAGUUUCUGAGUUUUUGAUCUAACUGAAUGGAGAGAGAAACUGUGAUUCUGUUUGUUGAGGUGGCGUGAAUUGUGUGGAUUCCUCUGGAAAUUCUGACACUGUGUUGUAUUUAUAGCUGACAUGUGUACUUGAGAUCUAAUGAAAUGGUGACAUCUGUCUUUUGUGAAGAAGGCUCGGCCUUGGACUGAAUUUUUGACUUAGGGACCUUUCUGCAAAAAGAAAAAUUAAAAGGACUAAUCUGCAAUUAUGAAAAAAGGACUUUAAAAUGCAAUUUGGAAAAGUAUUGGACUAAAAUGCAAUUUUAGAAACUGUUUCAGGGACUAAAAUGCAAUAAUAAUAAAAAAAAUAAAAUUGGACUAAAAUUGGUAAAUUGGACAAAACGUAAAGUGAAACCAAAAAAUAAAAAUCAACAAAAGGACUAAAAUGAACCAGCUACAAAAAUGAGGUAUUUUAAAAUACCUCUCUGCCGAAGUUUUGACAGGAAAAGACCAAAAUGCCCCUAGGGACUAAACUGACUCAAACUGACUCAGAUGCAAUUUUUGAAAUGAUUUUUAAACAAAGACUCAACAAUGAUUUGUACAGACAAAUUGAAAAGACUCAGAGGCAAACACAGGGACUAAAAUGGGUUCCAAUGUAGGAAAUGACCAAAAUACCCUUUUGUAUGAUUUUUGAAAUAAAAUGCAAGAAAAGUAACGCGACGUUUCAGAGAGUUCUUAAAUGACUUGUAAUGUCAGAAAAGACAGAGGCAGUAAAAUACGUUUAAAAGAGAGUAAAGAUUCAGAGUAAAAUAACAGAGAAUUGACAAAUAUCAGUGUUAAAAAAGAAAUUUGAACGAGUAUUUUUAGGUCCAAAAUCAGGGUAUAACAGCUAUGUUAAAACGGAGAAAGGUAUCAGACACAACCUGUACCUUUUUGCGGCGGCCAUUUUCACAGCACAAUCUCACAUCCUUGACAUACUUGAAACUCUGAAAAUCACACGCAAGGACCAUUUUCAGUAAGCACUUUGGCUAAUCACUUCACGCUUCAGGAUCUAUAUAUUUCCUCAGAAAGCAUUGGAGAACACAUUGAAACUUAAAAAACAAAGGAAGAGUCAUUCCUAGUUUUCUUUCAUAUAAUAUAAUUGGUUAAAAUAUGGUUUUGGUCCCUGCAAAUAUGCCUCGUUUUUGGUUUUAGUCCCUAGUAAAAAAAAAAUUUGUUUGUUUUUGGUCCGUGCAAAAUAUUUUGUUUUUGGAAAUAGUCCCUGGGACUAUUUCCAAAAACAAAAUAUUUUACAGGGACCUUUUUCAAAAUCAAAAGAUUUUGCAGGGACUAUUUCUCUAAUAAAUGGGUUCAGUCAUCAUGUGUCACAUGUGCAAAUCAUCACAAAAGUGGAGCCAGAGACCAAAACCAAAAUGAGGCAUAUUUGCAGGGACCAAAAACAACAAAAAUAAUUUGCAAGGACUAAAACCAAAACAAGACAUAUUUGCAGACCUUACCAGAAACAAAAUAGUUGGCUCAUUCCCAAGUUGGUUGAUACAUAAUGAUGAUAUACAAUAUUUGGAUAUAACAAAUAAUAUUUUAGGUGGUUUCCUUCCUUGGUUUAUCUAUUUGAAGUAGUCGUGGAAUAGCUUCGAAGGAGAAUGAUCUCGCUGGAUCUAUACCAUUUGAACUGUCUGGAAGUUCACAGCUGAAACUUUUAGACUUGAGGAGAACAAAUUUUCAGGUAACAUUCCCAACUGGAUGGAUAAUCUUUCAGUGCUCAAUGCAAAAAUUAUCAACAUGAUGGACCUAUCACGGAACAUGCUCAAUGCUUCACUUGGAACGAGACAACAUGAUGUCGAGUACAGUCCUAUGGCAGAAUGAUAUACAUUUGGAAGUAGAGUUCAGAACAAAGCACAAUCAAUGAUUACUUUUACAAAGGUAAAGUCCUAGAAGAUCUAAUUUACUCUAUUUGAGUAUACAUUUGUCAUAGAAGAUCACAAGGCGUGCAGACUUAGCAAUAUUAAACACUGCUUAUGAACUUAAUAUCAGACAUAUCUUUAUGCAUAUAAACAUUAUUUUUAUUCGUAUAGUCCUAAUGUAAGGAAAAAUGUGUAUGUAAUGUUUAUUAAAAUUCUGAUCGUGUUUCUAAGUUUAAACACCAUAAUUCGUGCCAUAUAUAUAGUUUGCACAUUGAUUCCCCUCUCUAAGAGUGUGAGAAACCGUUACAUUGAUUUGUUGAAGCAUUUGUUUUAUGUCUUGUAUGAUAACAGCAUAGAUAUGGAACCUCUCAAUGGGGCCAUAUAUAAGGUUGAUGCAAGCAAGAGAAUCAGAAUAGCAAGAAAGUUCUGCAUAUCCCAAAUCCUUUGCCAUGAUCAGCCCGUGAUAGAUAGCAGAAAGAUCACCUAGCAAGAUGUCAUCUGAACCUGGAAUCCAACUAGAGAAGCCUGAAAGGAAUAUACCUGCAUGAGUACGCAAGACUCCACCAAACCCGGUUUUGAUAGGAGAACCGUGGCAACUUCCAUCCACAUUAAGAAUAGCACCUGAAAAAUUGUUAUUAUUUCCAUCUAAUGUACCUGUUAGUUGUAAAAGCAGAAGCAGAAGGUGAAUAGUUGAUUACAAUGCUUUCAAUCGAAUUUUUGAUCUUACAAGCCAGGCGAUGUAAAGACCAAGUUUCACCACCCAAACACAUAAGGUUUCGAUGUCGCCAAGACCACCAAACUCCGACAUAAAAAGUGAUAGCAUGGGAACCCUUAGUUCCCCCUUUUAGUUGUUAAUGUUAAAUGAGUUUGAAUUUCAUCCCAAAAGUUAUCUUAAAGAUAAAGUGUUAAAAAAUUCACUUUUAAGAUGUGAACUUAAGUUAUGUUUGAAAUUUGAUUUCUUCGGUUGUGGGAGUUUGACUUUCAUUUAGGUGUUGAAUUUGGUUUUAGUGGUUAGCUUUCUUAUUGGUGUCGGUGAUAGCAAUCAGUUAGGGGUGUUUAUAUUUGUGUUUUUAUAAUUUUAUUUUAGGUGUUCAACCUAGAUAUGACAACAUAGUUUUAUUGUUUAUGUUUAGUCGAUUUUUGUUCAUCUUGUGCAAUACCGAUUGCACCAACUAAAAUACUCACAAUCAUAGCGGCCGUAGCAACAAUUUAAAAUCAUAAUUUACAUCACAUUGUCAUUUAUUUUUGACAAGUCCAUCACAUUAUCAUAACACCAAUAAAAUAAAUAUUUAUGUACUAUUCUUUGGUACACCAUAAACACGUGAAGGUACAAAAAUAUUAAACUGGAAAAAAAUGAAUAUUGAAACUUUCCAACGGUUUAGAUAUAAAUGUAACGUUAUUUGACUAUGAAUAAAUGUUGAAAGCAACUAUAUUAAACUAAUAUGUUCAAACAAGUGAUUAAUUGCAUGCAAGAUAAGUUUACCAUUUUUGUCAAAUAUCAAUUCUAUGUCUUUCUUGUGCUUCGUGGAAGUUUCUUUAGAAUAAAAACAUGUCUCAUCUGUUAGUGCUAUAUAUAAUAAUAUAAGGGGAUUGAUUGAUUACACAAUAUACAUACAUUUCUAAAAAAUGAAGUUGGGUUUGAUAAUUAGUUCCCUUUUUUAUUUUAUGACAUUGAUGUUAAUACAAAAUGAAGGAUGUAACGGUUGUGUAGAGAAUGAGAGAAUGGGGUUGUUAGAGAUCAAGAAGUACAUAGUGUCACAAGUAGAAUAUUAUAAUAAAGAAUUGAGUUCAUGGGUUGAUGAUAGAGAUCAUAGCAAUUGUUGUUCUUGGAAAAGAGUCAAGUGCUCUAACUUUUCUUCUGGUCACAUAACUAAACUAUCCAUUCAAGGAUUACUAUUUGCGACCCCUCAUCCAAAUAUGUUAAAUAUUUCACUGUUCCGUCCAUUUGAAGAGUUACGUCUUCUCGAUUUGUCCUUGAACGGGUUUCGAGGUUGGAUUGGCAACAAAGGUACUAUAAAAGUUGGUUAAUUUUGAUUUCUUGCGUUAAAUCUAUUUUCAUUAGCUAGUAUUUAUGAUAUCUUGCAUCCGAGUUCAAACUUCUCAUAGCUUACUUUGCAUUUUUUUUUAAAGGUUUUCCUAGACUAAAAAAGUUGGAGACAUUAGACCUUACAAACAACAAUCUAAAAGGCAGCAUCUUGUCAAGUUUGAAUGGAUUAACUGCUCUAAAAACUUUGAAGCUCAGUUAUAAUUCGAUAUAUAAUAACUACCCCACUCAAGGUACGUUAAGUUUUUGUAAUUUGUUUAGGCUUAAUUGCACUUUUCCUCCCUAUCUUUUGUUAAUUUGGCGAUUUUGCACCCCAUCUUUUGCCAAUUUUAUUUUGUUCAAAAUCAUCAUUAAAAGAGAGGAAAAUGGGCUAAAGAUAGGGUGCAAAAUCGCUCAGAAAAAAAGAGGGAGUGCAAAAUCGCACAAUUAGCAAAAAGAUAGGGGGAAGAAGUGCAAUUGAACACAAAGAUGGGGUGCAAAAUCAGAAAGGGGGCAAAAAGAUAGGGUGCAAAAUCGCACAAUUAAAAAAGAUAAGGGGGAAAAGUGCAAUUAAGCCAUUUGUUUAUGUGUCCGUAUUAGAGACUAUAUUUAUCUCAUUGAUUAGUUAGUGAUAUUUAACCAUAGUUAGACAUUAGUUUAGAGAUAGUGUUAGUAUACAAUUACUGAUUCUUCUUCUGUUAUAACCAUGUUUGGUUAAACUCAUGUAUAUAUACUUUGUUUCUAAUCAAUGAAAGUAAGCUCAUUUUCUAUCAUUCACAUCGCCACUCUAGGAUGACCUUGAGUAUUCUUCCCACCGUCUUUCCAAGCUGAUGUUGAGUGUUUACUGUCUAUCAGACUACCACCGAUCUACAAGGAAUCAUUACCUAGGUGAGAAACGUCACCUUCCUCAUCCCCCUAACAUGACACCAUCAGAUCACCCGCAUCCUCAUAAUGCUCAAAGACAACUUGCGUAGAGUUUUUAUUGUUCUCCGUCCAAUCCCUCUUGAAGUGACCCAUCUUGUGACACUUAUAGCACUUAUACUUUGUCUUGUUACCACUGUUUUAGCUUCCUCAGUUACCUCUACCUCCGUCAUUCCCUCUUGAAACGCUUAGGCCUUCACUAUUUUUCAUUCGCUCUCAAGUCCUUGGACUUGGUCAACUUCUUGGUUCUUAAAGCUGCUUGGACUUCCUCCAAGGUGAUAGUGUCUUCUUUUCCAUAGAGGAUGGUAUCCUGGAAGGAUUCAAAUGAUCUUGGUAGAGCACACAACAAGAGUAUAGCCUUGUCUUCAUCCUUAAGAUGCACCUCAAUGUUCUCUAAAUCAUAAAGGAUUUUGUUGAACGUCGUUAGUUGCUCCAUUACGGUCUUUAACCUCACUAUCUUAAAUGAGUAGAUUUGUUGAUUUAGGAUUUGUCUAUGAGCCAAAGACUUUGUCAUAUACAAAGACUCCAACUUUGCCCAUGCCGAUGUUGCGGUACGUUCCUUCACAACAUCCCUCAACACUUUAUCCCCGAGGCACAAUACAAUAGCACUCAUUCCUUUGUCCACCAUCUCGGCCUUCUCCUCUUGUGACAUGGUGAUCGGUAACGCUCUUUCGCCCUUCAAAGUUUUCUCACACUUUUGUUCUAUCAAAACCGCUUGCAUCAUCACCUUCAUGUUGCGGUACGUUCCUUCACAACAUCCCUCAACACUUUAUCCAUGAGGCACAAUACAAUAGCACUCUUUGCUUUAUCCACUAUCUCGGUCUUCUCCACUUAUGACAUUGUGUCCAGUAAUGCACCUUCACCCUUCAAAGCUUUCUCACACUUAUGUUGUAUCAAAACUGCUUGCAUCUUCAAUUUCCAUAACUCAAAAUCGUUACUUCCAGUGAACUUCUGAAUAUCUUACUUUGAACCCAUGGUACUCACUUAACCAAUUCACUACUUUGCGCCCCAAUGGGCGCCAAUUGUUGUUAAUGCAGACUCAAAAUCACACCAAUAUAAAUAUGGUGUGUGGAGCAAAGGAAAGUAGUAAUUGAUAUCAAAGUAACCUCAAGCAACAACAAUAUCAAACCUAGAUCUAAUUUAGGAAUCAAGUGAAAAGCACAAAACCACAUGCAACAGAUAAAUAGAGAAGAGAAACAAAUACACACCAAUAAAUGUUUACCCAAUUCAGUCCAAAUUGACCUACUCUGGGAGAGAGAUUGAUCUUUCCAAUCCACUAUCAAUGAGUUCUUACAAAUAGAUAUACAAGGGUUGCAAUAAAUUAGCUUCAACAAGUUCACAAAGAACAAACCCUAAUUUCUACCCUUUUUCCAAUCACUCCAAUGAACAAGUCACUAAAUGAUUUUCACUCACCCAAGGUGUUUACAAAUGUUUCCCAAUCCAAGAGAACCCUCACCAAAGACCCGCAACCCUAUAGUUACCUCCUUUGAUUUUCCAAAUUUCUCUCUCUUCACUUUUCACAAAUUUCAUUUUUUAGUCAAAAUUGCUACACAUUUGUUCAAAACUAGUUUCAAAUAGUUUGCUAAAGAGCAAUGAUAUUUGUACAUCCAUUCCAUGACAACUUUAGUGACAACCUUGUUUUUCUCUCUUCUUAUUGGUCAAAAACAAUGGAGAGAGAAAAAGGAAGAGAGAGGAUAAAAUCAUAAUGUGAGUAUGAGAGAGAAAGUUGUACAAAAGUUGUCACAAAUUGGUUGUACAAAUAUCAUUUCUCUUUGCUAAAAAAUUCACAUGUAUUGUCUCUCACAUGGAGUGGUACAAUAUGUGUAUGAAAAAAAGUGUGUACAUAAAACAUUAUCCUUUUAUAAAUCACAAUACAUAAAGCAAUAUGCCUUUUAUCCUUCAUUGAAACUUGGGAGUCACCCUUUGAUAUCAAUUCAAUAUUAGUCAUAUUCAUGUUUGAAGGAAAAGUACCAGUCGAAAGCCAUACACAACAUUGAGAAAUUUUUUUUUGACCACAUAUAAGCCACUCAAACCUUCUACCACCAAGAGUAAAAGAAAUAGAGUCAAGGGAUCCACUUGUUUAAGAUCCUUUGUAUGGACACUUUUUCGUUCAGAACUAGUUAACAAGGACCAAAAUAUUUGUCGCAAAACCCAAAUCUCUUCAACAUGUAGUUUAAGAAACACCAACUAACAAAAUCAUUCUUUUUCUCAAAGUCGACCUUAAAAAUCCAGCACCCCCUUCUUUGAUCUAUUGGUUAAGUAAUUUAUGUUUUUCCUUUUUUUUUAAUAGUAGAUUUAUGUUUUUUUUUCCUAAAACUCUAAAAAUUAAAUGCAAUCUAUCUACUAUCAACAUGCAAGGGCUGAAGAUCAGGCUGCCUUUUAUUAUUGAAAAAAAGGGAUCAAAUAUCCAUUGAAGUUAAAUAUUUUUAUUUGAUAGUACGAGAUUAAAAAUAUAUCUAAUACUAAUUUUUAUAGAAUUUAAAAACCGUUUGAUACUUUUGAAGGUUUUCCUAGACUUAAAAAGUUGGAGACAUUAGACCUUUCAUGGAAUGGUAUAGAAAGUAGCAUCUUACCAAGUUUGAAUGGAUUAGCUGCUCUCAAAACUCUGAAUCUCAGUUAUAAUUCUAUGCGAAACUUCUCCCCUCAAGGUAUGUUCGUUUUCUAUAAUUUAUUUACUACAUUAUCUGUUGAUGGAAAUUUUGUAUGUUUAGUUGUAGUUUUGAUGUCUUAUAUUACUCAUGGAUUCAAUGUAUAUUUUCAAAAUUGUACCGAUUGACUGAUGUGUUUUGGUUGUUUACUUUAAUCAAAGAGACUACUUUUUCCAUCAUUAGAGGAAUUAGUAUUUAAAUCUGAACUAAGAGAGAGAGGUGUCCAUCAAAACUAUUUCUCCAUUCAAACAAAAAAAGAAGAGAAGUGUCCGUAUUUAAUACUGUUCAGGACUGCUCAAAGGACUUGCUUUAAGCAGUCUAAGAGAGAGAGAGGUGUCCAUCAAAACUAUUUCUCCAUUCAAACAAAAAAAGAAGAGAAGUGUCCGUAUUUAAUACUGUUCAGGACUGCUCAAAGGACUUGCUUUAAGCAGUCUAAGAGAGAGAGAGGUGUCCAUCAAAACUAUUUCUCACAUCACUAGGGAGGUGUUCUUGCAAGCAUGCCACCAACAUGCUCACAGGACGUUGUUCUUCUGAUUAGGUAAGAUUAGUGGCCCUGUAUGUGGAAAUUUAGAUUUCCCCAUCUUUUUAUUUUUAAAUAAAGAUUCUCGAAAUGUCCUAAUCAGAGCAUAAUACUAGACUCCAAGCAACAAGAAAAAUCGAGGAAGCGCCACGUUAAGCCUUGGGUAGUCACGCUGUCUCAAGCGUCCUAAUCAUGUAUGUCUACACCAUUUUUCAAUGGCGAGGCGGUCAACCAAACAAUCAUUGGGGGUAAGAUAACGUCCAAGUGUACAAAUAUCACCAAGCAAUUAUAUCAAGUUCACAACAUCACAUCAAUUCACAUAAAUCACCAAGGUCACAUAAUCAAUUAUGAGACAUUUCACAUGAUUCAUAUGCAUGUAAUUUUCUAGACACGACUCUUCAUGCAUGUGGUACCAUUUGGAUAUCAGAUUUAUUUUACCAAUUGAUCCGCUAUCGACAAUAAUCAUCACCAAUUUUCCAUCAACAAUAGCCAUCAACAAUAGGACUUGAUCAUGUAUGCAUGAACAUAUGACUUAACAUCGCAUAUAUUCAUAAACUAUAAAGCAAGUCAUCAACCAUCAACAAUUUUCCUCUUAAAAAAAAAAAACCAUCAACAAUAUUCAUCACUGAUUUUCAUCAACCAUAUUCAUCAACAAUAUAUACAUAUAUACAUCACUAAAUCAUACAUAUGCAUACACACCAUCAUGAACUUAUUAUCAUUAAGAAAUCAUCUUCAGCAAAAUUAUCAUCACCAUUUAUCACAACAAGAACAACGAUCACUCAAUUAGCAAUUAUCUCAUUCUAUACGAACAACCAAUUUCUCCAAGUUAACUCACUUUUCAUGAAUACAUGUCAUCACUAAAACGAUCAUAAAAAAUCACCUAGAUAGUAAUUCAUAAUCAUUUACAUGUUAGCUUGGUAUAAUUCAUCAGUUGCCAAAGCCCGUCUAGUCAUACUUUUAUCAAAGUUCGUCUAUUUUUCACCAUUUCGUACAUACAAUCAAUUUCAAUCCAAAGCCAAGUUAAAUCAAGCUUAGGUACUUAACUAUACAUCAAUUCAUUAGGUUUAGGUGUUUGGGAUCUAUUAAAAUGCGUUUCGACCUUAAAAAUACACAAGAUUUGGAGUUCUAGGACCCUGCAGAGGCCGCACGGUCGUGCCCUCUACACGCACGGUCGUGCUGACCAAGUGCCAGAGAGACGCACAAUCAUGCACGACUAUACCAGCACAAGAUUUUCUAUAAAAGUUGUUUCAUGUGCAGGACUUUGUUUUCAAAACCGUUUUUCGAUCCAUUUCGCGUCAAACAACCACAAUCACUUAAACUACUCAUGUCCUACUUUAUAACAUAAUUUUCAUCUCAAAACAACUUAAGUUUAAUUACCAAAACAUCACUUAUUUCACAUAAGUACUUAAAACGAUUUUUGACUUAAAAACCCACUUUUAUUCAAUUCAAUUCCACAUAUAUCAGUUUUCACAACCAACAACAUACUCAUAAUGCAUGUAGUUAUGAAGUUACAAUCAAUCGUUCUUUUGAAUCAAACUUCUAUGCCUUUUCCUUAAACUCUUUUAGAAACUAUUUAAAGAUCAUUUUUGAAUCUUUAUAUCUUGUAGUCUUUAAUGAAUCAAUGAAAAAAUUGGUUAAAGGUUCAUUAUCAAUAUGAUUUACCUGAGAACAGAGAUGGUCGAGAUUAGUAUCAUAAAACUGGAGGAAUAGAAUCAAUGAACAAUGUAUUGUUCAAAAUAAAGUUUUAGUUGAAUAUGAUUCAUAUGAAGAAAAAAAAAAUUAAUUAAUUCUUUCAAAAAAACAAGAACAAGAAGUUAUGUAACAAGAUACUCAAGGUAUGUAACAAAACUCAAUUUGUGUUUUGUCACAUGACUUUAAGAGUUAUGUUGUGUACCUUUCAACUACUAAUCUUUUCUUCCUCGAAUCUUUAAGACUUUGUUGAAAACCACAGUUCAUCUUCUUGUUGAAUCUUCAAUCUACACUCUUUUGAUUCAAUUAAAUUUUUUCUAUAUCUUCUUUGAGUUUGUGAUGCUACUAUUUUGGUAUUCUUCCACAAAGUAUAUAUAUGCACUUGUAAGAGACUUUUUUCUGGUUUACUUAUGUGAAAAGACUUAAGUGCAAACAUCAGUAGAUCAUUAUUCAUAAAACUUAGCGUUUAUUCCGUAAUGUUUGUUAUCAUUAAAACAUUCAUAAAAAAAAAAUUUGCUUCAAUAACUCAUUCUUACAAAACCGGAUUGUAAGGUGAGGAUUGUCUAUUCUUUAUAAACUCUUAUUAAGAGUCUUACCUAUCUGAUGUGAAACUAAAUCCACUACUCCAUCAAAACCAACCCAAGGCAGCUUAAAUUUCGCAAUUAGGCGACUAGAGGCGGACCACAGUAAUGACGGAAUUUCCUACUAAAUCAGAAGAUUGUUUUUGAAGCUAGGCUGAGACCAUAGAGGAUGAAUCUAGCUCAAUACAUAAGUUAAGUCAAUGAUUAACAGAUGCCGGUUCAAUAGCUCUCAACUCCAGGAAGUCUAGCAUGAAAAGAAGACGUGACACCAAGAUUGGAUUAUUCUUAAAAGCCCCAUCAAUUAUUUUAUUUUUUUAAGGGGAGCCCUAUCGAUAUUACUUCUUUGAUAAUAGGAGCUUUAGAAUGAUGAAUAUCAACUUUUAAGCUUUCGAGAAUGAGGAAGUCACUGAUAGAGUUGGUUGAAUCCUUAGUUUUAUUUCCUAAAGGGAAUCAUUUGGAAUGAAGGGAGAAAUUGUUGAUUUCCUAGGAAUAACUCUAUUGUUAAAUCUAGCUUGAUUUGUGGAAAACCAAAUAGAGUUGAUGAUGUUUAUUAGAGCAAUUUUCUUUUUUAAAGGAAUUUAUUAUAGCAGUUGUGAUCUCAGUUUAUUGAAAACUAUAUCUCUAACAUACAUUUGUUUUUCUUUUUUACCGCAGAUGUUCAACAUUUGAGAAACUUGAAAAUGCUAAGUUUAUGCAACAAUCAAAUGAACGGCUCACUUGAAGGUAUUAAUAUUACCAAACACAAAUAAUGAAAUUAUUGGUUUGAUUUGUAAAAUAUAUUCUUUCAUGUACACAAUAAAUAUCAAGGUGUUCUAUACCACAUACAAUUUUUGAGUCUUUUUUAUUGAGAUUUGUGGUCUAAUGUUAUAUUAUUUAUUUAUCGAAAUAUUUUAACAUAUUUUUUUUAAAAAGAAUCAAAAUAUUUUAACAUUGAAUGUGAACAAAAAAUUAUUAAUUACAAACGGUGACAGUUCGACAAUUUAUAUAGAUAUGUGUUUAUUUAGACUUAAAUCUAAAAUUAUAGGAUCCAUAUUCAAUAUCUAAAAUUAAGAAAUUCUAAAUCCAAGGAAAAAAGAAGAAAAAAACAAAAUAAACAAACUGCAGGAAAAGCCGCAGGAAAUGACUUUAGAAAAACCGCAGUAAAAUCCGCAGCAAUACCUGUGGAAUUUCCUAAGGAAACGUUCAAAUAAUAUUCGUCAAUGGUUCUGCAGAUAGAAGUUACCUGCAGAUUUUCCUGCGGUAUCUGGAUUCGCAGGAAAUUUGAUAUGACUAACGUUAUCCGCAGCAAAAUCCUCAGGUAUUCCUGCGGAUUUGUUACCGCAUGAAAAGCCGCAGGAAACUGGACAAAAUAAUAGCAUGAUUUCAUAAUUGCUUCAGGGAAUACUGGGAAGAAUAAAUUAUUACAAUAAAUAUACAUAGCUUUCUAACUUAUUUUAACUUUUAAGUAAGAUACAAAUCAAACAAAUCAAAUCUCCACAACUUUGCAUUCAUAGAAGUAUAUAUAUGCUUUACAAUAACAAUAUAUAUGCUUAAACAUAUGACAGGACUAUGCAAAUUGAAGGAUUUGGUAGAGCUAGAUAUCAGCUAUAACAUGUUUAGCGCGCAACUUCCCGAGUGUUUAAGCAACUUAACAAACCUGAAUGUUCUUGAACUUAGCUAUAAUUUGUUCAGUGGAAAUUUUCCAUCCUUCAUUAGUAAUCUCACAUCACUGGCAUACUUAUCCCUCUUUGGAAAUUACAUGCAAGGAUCAUUUUCAUUGAGCACUUUGGCUAAUCACUCCAAUCUCCAGCAUCUAUAUAUUUCAUCACAAAGCAUUGGUGCAAACAUUGAAACUGAAAAGACAAAGUGGUUACCCAAAUUUCAAUUGAAGACACUCAUUCUUAGAAAUUGCAACUUAAACAAGGACAAAGGAAGUGUCAUUCCUACUUUUCUUUCAUAUCAAUAUAGUUUGAUAUUGAUGGACCUAUCCAGCAACAAAUUGGUUGGUUUAUUCCCAAGAUGGUUCAUACAUUCUUCUAUGAAAUAUUUGGAUAUAUCAAUCAACAGUUUAAGUGGUUUUCUUCCAAAAGAUAUUGGUAUAUUCCUUCCUAGUGUUACCUAUAUGAAUUUUUCAUCAAAUAACUUUGAAGGAAAUAUACCUUCAUCAAUUGGUAAGAUGAAAAAACUUGAGUCCUUGGACCUCUCUCAUAAUCAUUUCUCAGGUGAGUUACCUAAACAACUGGCCACAGGUUGUGAUAAUUUACAAUACUUGAAGCUCUCCAACAACUUUCUACAUGGGAACAUUCCUAAAUUUUAUAAUUCCAUGAAUGUGGAAUUUUUAUUUCUCAAUAAUAACAACUUUAGUGGAACACUUGAAGAUGUAUUGGGAAAUAAUACAGGAUUAGUAUUUCUAUCCAUAUCCAAUAAUUCAUUCUCAGGAACAAUUCCUAGCUCAAUUGGGACAUUUUCUUACAUCUGGGUCCUUCUUAUGUCUCAAAAUAUAUUAGAAGGUGAGAUCCCUAUUGAGAUUUCCAACAUGUCAAGUCUUAAAAUUCUGGAUCUUUCUCAAAACAAGUUAAUUGGAUCAAUCCCAAAGUUAAGUGGUUUGACAGUUCUUAGGUUCUUGUAUUUGCAAAAGAAUAAUCUCUCUGGCUCGAUACCAUCUGAACUCUCUGAAGGCUCACAACUACAACUUCUAGAUUUGAGGGAGAACAAAUUUUCAGGUAAAAUUCCCCACUGGAUGGAUAAGCUAUCAGAGUUACGUGUUCUUUUACUAGGAGGGAACAAAUUGGAAGGAGAUAUUCCAAUUCAAUUGUGUCGGUUAAAAAAGAUAGACAUAAUGGACCUAUCACGGAACAUGCUCAAUGCUUCAAUACCAUCUUGCUUCCGAAAUAUGUCAUUUGGAAUGAGGCAAUACGUUGAUGAUGAUGACGGUCCUACUUUUGAAUUCUCAAUAUCCGGAUAUCUUCCAACGAUUUCCUUCAAUGCUAGUUUGUCGAUUCAACCUCCAUGGAGUUUGUUUAAUGAAGAUCUACAAUUUGAGGUGGAGUUCAGAACAAAGCACUAUGAAUACUUUUACAAGGGUAAAGUUCUAGAGAAUAUGACUGGAUUGGAUUUAUCAUGGAAUAACCUAACAGGUCUCAUCCCUUCUCAAAUUGGUCACCUUCAACAAGUUAGAGCCUUGAACCUAUCACAUAAUCACUUGUCUGGUCCUAUUCCAAUUACUUUUUCAAAUCUUACCCAAAUAGAGAGCCUUGACUUAUCAUACAAUAACUUGAGUGGUAAGAUACCAAAUGAACUAACCCAGUUGAACUUUUUAU
This 54128-nucleotide long non-coding RNA is filed under the name Medicago truncatula (barrel medic). RNAcentral describes it as "long non-coding RNA (MTRU_LNC001460)". The record is from RNAcentral. Lineage: Eukaryota; Viridiplantae; Streptophyta; Magnoliopsida; Fabales; Fabaceae.